Molecule: long non-coding RNA, 60896 nt
Filed under: Malus domestica (apple)
Lineage: Eukaryota; Viridiplantae; Streptophyta; Magnoliopsida; Rosales; Rosaceae
Description: long non-coding RNA (MDOM_LNC011242)
Source: RNAcentral
UAGGGUGAAGCCGGUGUACGAGUCAUAAACGAUCGGAGCCUACCACGGUGGAAGGCCACGAAAGAGUGUUCAAAGCACUCUCACGCUUAUCAACUUAAUAAUGGUUUGGUUGAGGGUUUUAGGUCUCAUCACAUAUAAAUAUUCAUUUUAAUCUUUAUUAAAAACAAUUUUGGCCCUAUUACAACUAUUGGUCCAUUUGAUUGAAUUUUAGUUGUAUAUAAUACUCCCACUAUGCUUAUAAAAACGGUUUUAAAGCAAGAGUAUAUAUGAUACUACUAACAUAAACUUUGCAUUCAUUUGAUGGACUAUAUAGUUGCCUUAGGGCCUUAGGAUGACUAUGAACCUUUGAUUAGAUUCAACACGAGCCUAGUGUUGAAUCUCGGUCUAGGGAUGGUGAUUGAUUUUAGUUACACGUUUAAUCACAUUAAGGCGUGUUGUCUUAGGGGCGUUGGACCCAACUACUUCAAUUUCAUGCAUAUCAAAUAAAGCAAGAAAGAAGUACUUCAAAGUAAAGAUGAGCUUAUGCUCUUUAACAACAUUUGAAUGAUUCAAAUUACUUUAAAGUAAAAGAAGAGCUUAACCUCUUUUACAACAUUUGAUCAAAUCAAAUUACAACCAAAAUCUAAUCUACAUAUUCCGAUGGUUCAAACAAAUUUGAAACGGCCUUUCACAUAGCUCAAUUAUCGUAGGCUUAGGUUCAUAAUCACCCUUUAAUUAAUUAACGCUUUAACUAAUUAAAUUGAAUGCAACAUUUUCAUUUGGUUUUUGUAUCCAUAAAAUUGAUUUUAAAUGGAGCUAAAUGAAAUGAAAAUCCAAUUCUCAUUUAAAGAGACAAAACAAUUUUGUUCUCAACCUAAUUUGGGCCAAAAUGCAAUUACCACAACUUUUUGGGCUAUAUUGCAAAAACACAAACUUUUGGGGUCACUUUGUAAAAACACAAAAGUCCACUACUUCAUGUAAUUACAACUAGAACCCAAAAAUUCAACAAAUACACAAAAACUUCAUUAAAGGAACAAAACAAUUUUGUCCUUUAAUGAAAACUUUUGGGCCUUAACUAAAAUACGUAAACUUUGGGUCAAACUAAAAAAAUAUCAAAACUUAUUUUAAUAGGGUGGCCGGUUAUAGGGGGAAAAUAGAGAAGAGAUAAGUCCAAAAAAUUUGGAAAUUUUUCAACAAUGUCAUAAAGCCUUGCAAGUGGAAUUUGGUUGGUGUGAAUCAUAAAACCAUGCAAGUGGUGUGUAAGAGAAGUACUUCUUACACACCGAUCACCAUUUCUAUCACCUUUCAAAAUAAAUGUUUUGUUGAUAGAAAAUUCACAUCAACCAACACAAAACAAAGACUUUAUGAAAUCAACCAAAACUUUGAAUCAAAACACCAAACUUUUUGUUCUUGAUAAGAACCUCAAGAACAAUGAAGAACAUCCAUGAAAACCCAUAAGAGUUCCAUGAACAUUUUCACUCAUUAAAACCCAAAUUUUCACUUCUCAAAAUGGGGUUAACAUCCUAGGGUACUUAGGGGUUCCAAAAGUCACCUUAAAACACUUUUAACAAGUCAAACAAGAACCCAAAAAAUCACCAUUUGGAUUUGGCCGAAAAAUCCACAAAAAAACUUUUAGCUCACCAUGCUAAUUUUUGAGAAUGGCAUGCUUAACAUAAAUUAACAUCUAACAACAACAAAAUUUGUUCAAAUUAAAAAUUUACAAAAAGAAACUAAGAAUAAAGCUUGUAACAUAUUACUAACCUUUUAAAUCAAAACUAUGAACUACAAAACCACAAAGGAAAUUUUGUGAAAAACAUCUUUUCAUUUUGAGCAACAUCUAUAGCAUGCAAUUAACAAAUUUAAAAUUAAGGCGGAAUCAUGCUUGCAUGCACUCAAAACAAAACAUUACCCAUUAAAUUCAAAGCCUAGUAGUUUGGUGAACCAAGACUCAAACUCAAAAGUGAGUUGAGAGAUAUUUAUACCUUUGUAGAUACCUCUUUGCAUAAGCAAAGGCUAAUCACCCAAAGAGAGGGCCUUCAUUCCUUGCAUCUUAGAUCUAUGGAUUUGGAUGGAUGAAAUGGUUCUUCCCAAAAUUGAGAACCUCUAACUCUACACCAAGGUUAGAUUGGAGAAGAAAUGAGUGACCUUGGAGGAGUUGGGAUUGCUAGCUAAUCCCUCCAAGGGGCAGCCUCUUUAGAGAGAAAGGGAGAGACAUGUUCUCUCCAAUUUUCUCCAAAAGAAACCCUUAAUGAAUUUAGGCUAUAAAGUCCUUUAUAUAGUCCCUUCAAAUAAGUGACCUAAAGAACCAAAAAGCCAUUCUUUUAACAUGGCCGGCCUAUUGAGGGAUUUGUUGGAAAUAUGCCCUGAAAGUCAAUCUUUGGAAGAAAUCUUUCAGGACAAAUGAAUCGAUGUAUGGAUGAUCUUCUACAUCAAAUGCAAAGAUACUAAUUAGGACUAUCUCAAUAAACGAUAUAUAGUGAAUCCUGAAUAGGAUCCGAUUGAAGAAGUAAUCUAAUGAUGUUAGACUACAGAGACCUUCUUUCACAUAACCAUUAUGUCCAAAAGGUUCCUGGUCAUUGGAUUGUCGGAGGGAUACUGACAAUGCUUAGACCAGUACAUGCUGUGUCCGCUUCAAUUGGAAGGAUGGAAAGUCUCAACCCAUUCGUGUUGUGACACUAAGACAAGUAUGUAGGUGCUCAUUAAGGGAAUGAGUUCACUGAAUACAAUUGAAUCAGAGUACUUGCAUGGAGGUCUACUCACAUGUCAAGCAAGUAACUCAAAUGGUUGGAAUAAUGUAAGUAAUCCUCCUUUGACCUGAGGCAUCGUCGUUGUCUUGUGGUUAAGUACUUUAAUCUUUGAUUAUGCCAAAGUCACUCUAUCAGAAUGUCAACGGCAUAGUUGUAUGGUUAAGCCACUUAGUCCCGAUGAAGAGAUGCGCAACAAGGAAUCUCUAAUCCUCGAUAAGCUCUAAGAUAUGAAUCUUCGGCCGAUAUCUGUCGUUCCUAUACGAAGUAAUCAGACAUGAUAUAUCCAUACCCCUAAUGAUGUGGUUGAGAGUAUUGUAUUAGAGAAGGAUUGAAUUACAUUGUAAUUCCAACUGACUAGGUUCUCCGAAUAAACUUCUACAUUAGCUUGGGUAGCUAUGACAUAUGGUUAGAUGUCACUCAUAGCUUGUGAGUUCUUCUAGAUGAUUAAAUGUAGUCAUCAAAGAAGAAAGGUGAAUUAAAAUGAAGUUUUUAAUUCACUAAGUGAUUGAAUUAAAUAUGAGCAAUUGGAUUGAUGCCAAUCACCUCACUGCCUUGCUAAUUAGAACCUAAAAGGUUGUUCACCAAUACACUAUUGUAGUGAGUAACUAAUGGAUGAUGGAAACAAUUAAUUGGAUUAAUUAUGUGUUGUGAUUAAUUUAGAAAAGUCUCUAAAGAAAUCAUAAAAGCGAUAAAGAUCGUUUUGGGCUUAAAGAAACGUUCGGGUUUAAUUAGGCCCAUUGGGCCUAAACCCAUUGAGCUUUUAUUCAAAGCAUUGGAACUUGAAAUAAUAAAAGCCCAAAGCCCAAAAACAACACAAGGGGCCGGCCACUUUAGGUGAGGAAAGGUGAGAUAUUUAGUCAAGUUGUUGACUAGGUUUCUUUUGUCUAUAUAAAGAACAUUAUAGAGAUAAAGUUCAUUAGGGUUUUUGUGAGUUUUGAACAACAAAAGAGGCAAAAGAAAAUAGCCAUCUUCAACCACAAAGGCCGGCCACCAAAAGGGGGUUUUUUUACUAACAUCUCUUACACCCUUUUGGUUAUUCCCUUCAUCCUUCUCACUACACUAUGGGGUGAGGAUCUUUAGAGGUUUCCUACUUUGGGAACUUGAAGAGAACCUAGGAGCACUCAUUAUAACAAAGUGGAGGAGGCAAGGAGGGAAGCUAGGCUCAAGGAUUUCAAGGAGCAAAGGGCUUGGAGGUGGUCCAUCCUUGGUCUCAAGUCUAGAUCAAGAGGUAUAAGACUAACCUUCACUUUGUUCUUGAUUCUAAAAUUUGUUUUGAUGCAUUAUAUAUAAACCUAUGAACCUUGAAGGGGAUUUGCAUGACUAUAGCUUUGAUAAUAUGUUAUAAAUGCUUCCGCUGAUUUCGUAUAUUAAAUUUUGAUUUGUAUAUGCAUGAUAGUCAUUAUGAAAUCCCAUUCUAGAAUCUCAUAAUUUUCCCUUCAGGAUUUGGGCUUUUGGGCCCUUGUGAAUCUUUAUUCAUUAAGUUGUCAUACAACUUAAGUCCAUGGGCUUUGACGUUCGAAGCCCAUUGGGCCUUAAGGUCCAAAACUAUCCCGAGGUCUUCAACGAACUUAUUCGUUUGAUUAAUUAACAUAUUAAUUAAUCCUUGCCAUAAAUAAUUAAACCAUUUAAUUAUUAUUACUCAUCUCCAUUGUUUCUUCAAUCUCCACCUUACACGGUGUACGAUCCAUUAGGUUCCUUUUAGCGAGGCAGUGGGCGAUUAAAACCAUUUCAAAUCGAUUGUGAAUUGAAACUUACUUUCAAUUCUCCCUUUAGUGAUUAUACACGUUUAGGGCUUCCACAAACCAUGAGUGACACCUAGCAGCAUAUCAUGGUUACCCAAGCUAGUCAGAAGAGGUGGAGAACCUAUUCAGUUUAGGAUUACAAAUGCAAUACGGUCUUUCUCUAAUACAAUACUUUUGACCACAUUGUUUGGUUUGAUAGUUUAUUCAUGUCUACUAUCCAAUGUGAUUCGUGUGCUUAUAUGAUUACCUUGAAUGUGAUUUGGAAGGACUUCCUAAAUCUCAUUCAUACUUUGGCUAGAGAUUCUUAAUCAUAUCAUAGAGUAUUCUCCCUCAAAAGAUUUGAAGGUUAGAGAUCCCUUGUUGCGCAUUCACUUGCCUCCAUGGCUAAGUGGCUUAACCCCAACUAUGCCGUGGACACCCUCGAAUGGAGUGACUUUGACAUAAUCAAAGAUCAAGGACUUAACCACAAGACAACUAUGAUGCCUCAGGUCUAAGGACUACUUUGCAUUAUCCCAACCAUGAGUUCUCAUGUGACAUGAAUAUGAGAACUCUUCGUUGAUCGUGUUCAGUGAACUCAUUCUCUAUUGAGCACCUACGUACUUGUCUUGAUGUCACACAUACCAAUGACUCGAGACUAGUCACUCUCCCUAAGAGAAGACACAGUACGUACUGAUCUUAACGGACUGUCAAUGCCCAAUUGGCAAUCCUAUGAUCAGGAACGUUUAGGAUAUGUAUACGAAAGAAUGGUCUCAUGAAUCUAACUUCUUUAGAUUGCAUUCUCCCAAUCACAUAUUCCUUGGACUUAUCGUUUAAGCAUAUAACAUGUAUAUGAGACGACUCAAACAAUAACCUUUUGCCCUUUAUAUUUAAACUACAUUAGUUUAACUUGUGAAAUGUCCGUAAAGUAUAAUCAUAUGAUUGGUUUUAGGGCACAUUUCCAACAAGACCCUGCAGUUGAUCCUGUACGGUUAAUUCUAUAGCUCAACAUCAAAUCCAUCCUGAGUCACCUCGGUGACCUGUACGGCACUACACUGCAUAUACAUCAGAACUACCUGAAGUAGUCUGUACGAUAAGGAUGGUGUAAUAAUAAUACGCUUUAAUGCUUCCCUCAUCAAACAUAUGUGUACACAAUCUAAGGUCACCUAUCAGUCGGAACCUUCUCAUGGUCUGUAUGACAUGUCGGAACCCUCUCAUGAUCUGUACGACAUGCACCUACUUGGAUCCAAGGUGAGCGUGCGGUGCGAGGUGAAUAAUAUAAGCACUAACACCAUGAUUGCAGGUUAUGAGCUAUCAACAUAAUACAUAUCAACAAUGCACAUGAAUAACAUAAACUCACCUGAUACUCACCUGUGCGUCCACAGCACCAAUUCACAUAUAUAUAUAUAUGCAUCAAUUAUCAAUUCAUAUAACUCAUAUCAUGCAUGCAUGGCAUUUGAAAACGUAUUUUCGUUCAAACUCAAUUUCUGGGAAACAUAUCAAUAGUAUAUAGGUAUAAACAGAAAUACUGCCCACUCACUGAUAAGUCGAAGGGUCGUAACCCCCGUGACGUCCCUGGAUGCGCUCGUCCUCGGGAUAGGUGUCACCUAUAUGCGAAAUAACUAUAAAAACGUUAUUUUAAAGCAUAUAACCAACAAUUCGUAAUAACUUCUCAUACGGUGCUCAAAUCGGGUAUAUGAAUAUACCACAGUGACCUACUCGAUGUCACGGACGUCGACAAAUUUUUAAAAUAAUUUAUGGGCUUGUCACGCGCCCCCACGCACCGUGGGUGGCACGGACCUACACGCCCCCCACACGUGUCUUCUUCUUCCUCGCGUCGCCGGCGCCGGAAACCUGCAACUCGACCUUUCUCACUCAAUUCUUCACCAUUUUUCAUGAAAUUUUCACCUACGAGCUCUAAAUUAAGAGGGGAAGGGAUCUAUACCUUUAAAAACUUCCAAAACCUUCAAAAUCACGUCGGGAAAUUUCACCCAAAACUGGCCACCCUCGAACACAGUGAUCCCGACUUCCAAAACUUCCAAACGAACGUCCCUGAGCUUCGUGAGAACCUCCUAAAGCUCACUACGAGCUUGGAUUGUCCUAAAAAUCAACCAACACAAAGUUCAUGAACAGUACCAAAAUCGGUGCUUGUGAUUUCGACGUGAAAUCGAAAGAUUUCUUACCUGAAAUGGGUGUGGUUGAGUUCGUAUAGUCCUCACGAGCACGAUGGUACCUUCACAAUCUUCGAUCCGUGCUUGUAGGCUCAAGGGUGAGUGUGUCCGUACGGUUUCGAGAGUGAGAGGGAGACUGAACGGAGAGGAGAGAGAGAGAGCACGGGGAAGAAGGAAGGAAAGGGUUGUCCCGAGUGUGUGUUGUGUGGUCCGUCCAAAAAAAACAAGUCCAACUCACAACCCUAGCCACACAAACAUACAUAUCACUUUAUUAAAUAAAACUUAAUUCAUUUCCAAGGAUUUAGGAAUGUAUGUUUUAAACCAAUUAUAUGUCACACACACAUACCUUAGUACCUGCUAAGGGUAAUCCCGUCAUUUCACGUCCUCGAUAAAUCAAAUCUCAGGACGGGCUGUGACAAAAGAUGACCAAGAGGGUAUCACCGCUGCCAAGCGUCAUUGAGAAUGCGAAUUUAGUGGAAAACGACGGCGGGUUGCUAAGAUUCCUAUCAACAAAUUUAAAGGGUUUUCUGCGGAGGAAAAGACUAGAGCUUGAGACAGACGACUGCGUAAGGUUGACAUAGAAUCCACCGCCUGCUAGCGCAACAUCUCCAAGGAGGAAACUUUCGGAAUCAAAGUUGGGGUUGCUACUGUUGGUUAGGGGUUUAGGCUCAGAAGAAGAAAUGGGUUCUACAACUAGGGUUAGGGUUAGGAAAUAGGAGGAUGAGAUGAGGAAAAUGAAGGGGUACGAAUAGGAAGGAGAGUUUUUUUUGUUUCUUAAUUAAUUCUAAUUUUUAAAUAAAAAUUAAUAAUUUUUUUAUUCUAGUUGGCGAAUGAGUAAGCCCUGCUAUUGCUAUGUCAUCGUUUAACAGUUAAAUUGACAAAAAAUUUAAUGGAAGUCUGAUAUUGCAACGAAUUCGUAAGUUGGUAUGACAUUGCAAUGUUGAACACACGAGGUAUGAAAUUGUGGUUCGACCUAUAGUUGAGGUAGUUUUGUGUAAUUUACCCAAAAAAAUUAUAUUUAAUGUGUACAACUUUUGCCACUACCAGUCCUCCACUACCACCGCCACCACUACUGUCACCACAUCCUCACCGCCACAUUUCCAUGGGCAUCACCGCUACUCUCACUAUUGUAAGCGUUGCCAACCCAACAUCAUCUUCCUUGUCAUCACCACAAUUUUUCUUUGACCAUGAUCACAACUAUUGUUACCACCAUUCCUCUACCACCACCAUUAUUGCCACUGCCACCCAUCGCGUCGCCACCACCACCUCUACUAUAACACACAUUUCUAUGGCCAAUAUUGUCACCCCCACCACAAGUGUUGCCAUCACCAUCGUCGUUGCCACUGCCGUCAUCAUCGCCGCUGCCACCACCACUAGCAGAUUUACUAACUACUCUCCCAUUUAUAUAUUAAUGAAAUUUAUUUUCAUAAAUAUAUUUAAUAAAAUAAAGAUAAACACAAUUUUUUGUUAAACUCUGCUACGAAACAAUGGGAUGUAUUAACAUUUAAAUCUUUUAAUUGAGCAAAAACCCAUUUUAGAGCAUGUCCAAUUGAUAAGUGUAAAGUUAAGAUGUAAAAAAAAAAAAUUAUAUUUACAUUAUCAGAGACGUAAAUGUGGAUUUUGCUUCAACUAGGGAGAUAAAUUCAAAUUUCAUCUCACUUCUUGUUCAACUCAUGUGGAUAUUGCUUUCUUUUCUCUCUUGUAGAUCCCCAAAUAAUGAUAUAAUUAGAUUUAAGACAACAAAUGUGAUACAUUAUUAGGAUUAGUGCAAGGGGUUUAUUUUUUAUUUUUUAUUUUAAUCAGAUCCACUGACCAUAUUUCCAACUCGACUUCUUUUCAUUUCUAGUUGAUGAGUCAACCUAUGACACCUCGACUCGAAUUUUAGUGGGCACCGAAAUUACGGAAUGCUGGCCAUAAUUCGGAUAGGUGACAAAGCCAUGAUAUCCAUGAAAUCAUAACAAAAGUUGUCAAAUAUCAAAAUCUACCAAAAAUUCAACAAAACUUCCCCUAAAUAGGGAUAAAUCCAAAUUAAAUCACUCGCAAGGAACCACAUUUAAUUCAACUCAUUCCCGAAGGGCCACACCAAUGGGUCUCGCCCCCAUAUUACAUGCUACAAAUAAAGCCGAGUAAGAAUCCUACUCUGUAAGAAUAUAUCAGAACCUACGAUAUGUACCUCGACAUCGGAUACGAUUGUUAUGACUACUGAGUCUGGUGCCAUGGCAUACAAAAUCAUGUACCAGCCAUAUUAGGGUAAGCUGAAAAUAUAAUCAUGUCAUUGCCGAGUAAUCUUAAGGCAAUGACAAGCUGAGAAUAUAACUGUGUAAUCAUAUCAUUACGGGUAAUUUCAACAUAAUGACAAGUUGAGAGUAUAUUUGUAUAACCAAUGCAUUACGGAAUAAUCUCUACGUAAUGGGGCAAGUUGAGAAUGUAUCUGCAUAACCAUGUCAUUACCGAAUAAUCUCGAUGUAAUGACGAGCUGAAAAUGUAUAUGUUUACGAAACAAUCUCUAUGUAAUGACAAGUUGAGUAUGUAUAUGUAUAUGUAUAACCAUGCCGUUACGGAAUAAUCUCAAUGUAAUGAUAGAACGCAAAUGUAUUUGUAUAACCUUGUCAUUACGGAAUAAUCUCUACGAAAUGAUAAGCUGAGAAUGUAUCUAUAUAACUAAGCUGAGAAUGUAUCAUACAAGUGUAAAUUGAAUACCAUGUCCGUAGUAUGGACAAGCUAAAUAAUAUAACCAUACAUUUGUAAGCUGCAUACCACUCUGUAAUAUGGACAAGCUGAAUAAUAUAACCAUAAACAUGUAACUGAAUACCAUGUCUGUAGUUUGAACAAGCUAAAUAUGUAUAUCAUACAACUAGUGUAAUUCGUAAAACAUAACUGAAAUUCAUAUUUAUCUAGACAUGCUUCAAAAUUUAGAUAAAUAAAACAUUCUCUGAAAUUAAUGUCCACUCACACCUCUCGCUAACUCUCAUUUGAGGAAUCUUGUUGUUGUCAAUCUGGUACAAUUUGUAACUGGACCGAAUCCCAAUAAAGUCACAUCCUAGACUCCUACACAUGAUAAACCAUUUACUUUCAUUUAAUCUUAUGGCUGCAUCUAACUUUCAAGUUAGAAUGCCUACAUUCCUUAUGAAGGGAUUAAGCCAGUUAUAGUUCAUUGUUUGUUAAGCUCUAAAAUUUCUCAAAGCAUUAAUUGGUAGAAACAUAGAGUUCCAGAAUCACUCAACAGAACCAUGUAUGCAAUAAGAUUUUGAAUCAUUGAGUGUUGAAGUGUUAAACCACUUCACUAGAUGAAAACUAGGCUAGGACUUCACCUUUGUGUUCUUAUCCUAAUGAUUUGCUAAAUUUAUUGUAAAAUGUAUAGUGAACCAUUACCACAUGCUCUCCAAAUCGUUUGAUGUGUGUAACACUAUUGAAAUAAGUUUCAAGAGAUACAGGGGGAGUUUAAGGACCAUAUGACUAUUGUAGUCAUAGGAGAAGUCAAAUGAAGAUGACAAAAUAACUCCAAGGGAACAAACGUUUUUUAUGAUAGGAUGGACACUGGAAGAGGUAUUUGUAAGAAAUGUCUUGCAAAUGUCAAGAACACAUCUUUCGAAGGUGUUGUAAAUUAAUAGUUCAAAACUUUUUGAAAUAGUUCAAAACAGCUGGUUCUUCUACUUGAAUGUUUGAUUCUAUAUUAUUAACUAUGUUUUGCAAUCGUUGUGAAAUAGUGACUAAUAUGAAGUAGAAGAUUAAUAGGAGAACAGAAAACACUUCACAUUCGGAACGUGAAUAAAGAUAUUGAUCUCUGCUAAAGCAGUUAGUAUGAACUACCAAAGAAAUUGGAAAAACAAAGAUUGUCUUUACAUUCCAAUUUGAAUAAGGAAAUUAAUUCUAUCACUUUAGUUUUAAGAGGUAGAUGAAUGUUUUAAUUGACAAAACAUUGUUCUUUAUUAAUGAAUGAUUGGAUUAUGGUAAUCUGAUUAAUUGUCUGUAUAUUGUAGAGAUGAUGCGAUAGUUUCAACUGUUUAGAAUAUAAUGAUGCUUAAAACCCAAAAGGUUACAAGAUAGUGACUAACCCUGCUAAGUUGUAACACCUCAAAAACAUAAACAAGAAGUUGGCUAUAGAUGGAUGCUUUAGAUCAUUAGGUCCAGAUCCAAUGCCUUCUUGUUAAACUUUUACAAGGGCGAAAUGUUCGAAUCUUUAUUCUUUUGGAAAAAAAGAAAGAGUCACAAAGUUGUUGAGGUUAAUUCACUACAUAAUACUACUCAUGUUAUAUGACAUUCACCGAAGAUCACUCUCGGUUGGACUAUCAUGGCAUUUGUCCACAACAUAAUAAUACUCAUGUUGUAUGCAUUCACCGAAGAUCACCCUCCAUUGGACUAUCGUGUAUUUUGAAUAAACACAAGUCCGAAUACUUUGCAAAAGGUUUCAAAGAAUUCAAGAAUGUAAGUUGAUGAGUAAAACGUCUAAAGUAUUGAUCUCCUUAGAUUUCAAAAGAACAUUUUAUAAGAGUUUUCUUGAAAGCUAUCAAGGAAAGUAGCAUCGUAAGAUAAUUGAUUUCUUUGUUAGGAGAAGAGCGAAAUCUAAUUGAUAUAGUUCGUUAAACAUUGUCAAAUUACCCAUAUAUAGGAUUUACACUUCUAAGACAAUAUAAUUGUCAAUUAGAAUGUCUUCCAAAAUGUUUCAUAACUCAAUAGGAUGUAGUUGGAAAGAAAGACAACUCUUAAUCGAGUUAAGAUUUGGGGUUGUGUGCUAAUAAGUAAUAUUUGUUUGAGAAUAAUCUUAUGGGAUAUCCUUAAAUUAACAUUUGGAUAUCACUUUUAUAAACCAACUAACAAAAGUUGUUUGUUGGGUAGUUCAUUGCAAUCAUACAAUAGGAUUUGUCUACGAUAGAGCAAAUGAACAAGAGAUAAAACUCAAGGAAUGGGUUCUUUGAGAGACAAGAUGAUACUCAACAAACUUAACAAUAUAAUUCCUACACUACAAGCUCCAAGGUAGUCGAUAGGAUCUAUAAACCGUCUCAGUUGAAUGGUUUGAACUUUAUGACUAUAUCCUAGAGUUACACCUCUUAAUUUGAAAGAAAUUAGAAUGAAGAUCCUUAUGACUACAUUGAGUGUUUGUAUGACAUAUACUCAAGGAAAUGGUAUAACAACAUUUGACCCGAAAUAGUGAAACCUUCAAUACUAAUUGGUAACUUAAGGUGACUACAAUCAAAGAGACUAGUUGACUUGGAAGAAACCAUCUUUGAUGUAGUCUUGGUUUCAAUUAAUUCGAAGAUAGCUUGCUACAUCGAAAUAGUGAAUCAAUGUUUGGACAUAAUAUGGGUUUCCUAAACCAUUAUCAAGAUAGUCUUGAUGAUAUAUGUCUACGAAUCAUAAGAUGUGUAAGUUGUAGAGAUUCAUCAAUCAUGAAUCUAAGGAAGCUGGUUGGAGCUAUAAGUGUCUCAUGAGAAAAGAUCGAAUCCUUUGAUUUCUUGUAAAGAUGUAAAUGAAUCUUUUGUUUACUAGGUUUACAAAAGAUUAGUGGGAGUUAAUCAUAUUCCUAUGUUUGGAAAUGAAAGGAAUUCUUCUUCGAUAAAGUUAUGACUUUAAAUGUUUUAUAAUGAUAGGAUGUAUAUGGGAGACAUUGUCUAUAAACUUGGGAUGGAAAUCUAUAAUGAUAGAUUUCAAGAUAUAUUAGAUUAUCUCAAUCCAUAUUGAUAGACAAAAGAUGCUAGGAAGUUCUCAAAUGAUAAACUUCAAAUAGAAGGACAGGUCUAGUGAGACUAGGAAGUUGCUCUUUUAAAAGGGAAUGUACCCUUUGACUCUUAAGGAAACAUAAUGCGUAAAUAGAAUCUUUUAUGCAUAUGCAGAAAGGUGAUUUAUGUAUUUAUAUAGUAUGAAAACAUUGAUAUGAUGGGUACCUAGAACGGUACAAGAUGAUAUCAGUGCAAGCCCAAGAUCAGAACCAUGACAACUAUCAAGUGAGUCUUUAUGUAUUCAAGAAAUACUAAAGGAUAGGUUCCUCAACAAUGUAAAAUAUAUAACCAUAUGGAAGCUUACAACAAUGUUGUUUAGAUGGGAAAGUUUAUUUAUGAACUCUCCAUUUGGUUCCAAACAAGAUGUGCCACUAGUGUACCCACAUUAAACACUAAUAGGGCGAUAGCUCAAGUUAGGGAAUCAAGGUUUCAUCAAGAUCCAAAUGCAAUUAAGAGACUGAACCACAUGAUUGAGAAUCAUGUAUAAUGAUGACGUCAUUAAUCUCAAGGUUACUUCUAUGGAUAACAUAUAUAUAUCCACUAUCUAGGCCUACUACUCAUCUAUUGUUGAAAUGACUUCAGAAGAGGUAUCAUCAUUGAUGACACAUCUGAUUGGCUCUAGUGCAAGUCGGAGAUUGUUGAAAAUGUGCCCUAAACCCAAGAAUAUGAUCAUACUUUACGGACAUUUCACAUAUUAAACUAAACUAGUUUUGUGAAACCUCGUCCUUGAUUUAUCGUAUUUUGUACUAUUGAAUUUAUGAAAUUACCAUUGUACCCUUAAGUUGACUUUCGUUGACCAUCUCAUCGAAAUGCGAAGUCUGAUUUUAAUUAAAUUAUUUGUAUCAUACUUAUUGCCACGAAUGCGUAGGCGUAAACGGAUUUGAAAUCGGAUGUGUAACAAAGAUUCUACGUUUGAACGUCAAACGUUUUCAGAUAUUUUGUGUUUUAUAUUAUGCAUUCUUAAAUUAUGAACCAAGAGGACCCACUUGCGAUUUUUGUCCCCUUAUCCCCUUUCCCUAUCCGGAUACCCCUUUUCCCUUUUGAGAUUUCCCUUAUCUCUCUCUCUCUCUCUCCCUCACUUCUCACUUUCUCUCAUUCUCUCUAUGAGCUCCAUCUGCACAUCAACAAACCACCAUCACCUGGACUUAGAAACCUCGAGGACACUAAGGACGUACUUUGUGAAUUUUCCGACGUAGGUAGGCUUCUAUAAACCCUUGGGAUGUGUUUUAGGGUUAGAUCAAAACUUGUUUUAAGUUGUACAACAUGUUAAACACAGAAAGUAACUCAGAGUAGCUUUUCCCAGUUUUCCGGCAAACAUUGCCAGUUUCAAGGUGUUUUUCAGCCAAACCACAUUGAGUUGGUCGUCUUUCAAGGUACCAUUCUCUUCAUCUUGUUGAGAACUAUGAUUUUCCUUUUUAAAUGACUUGAUUUGGUUAAGUAUGGAAAAAGUUAUGAGUGUUGGAAGUUCUACCCAGAAAUCGGCCAACCCACAGCCUAAAACUUUUCAACCCGACCCGAUAACCCUAAACCGAUCCAAGCCUAACUGCUACCCAGCCUAACCCAGAGUUUCAGCCCACUAAGCUAAGCCCAAACCCAAACCUUAGGCCCAACCCAUAACCCAGAUUUGACCCGAUCGAAUCCCAGAAUCCUAGGUAGCAGGUAUGUCCACGCGUGGGCACCUGUCUUAGCCAGCAUGUUGAGUACACGCGCCUCCACCAGAGGUACUGUGCUCCGUCGCCGUCCACAGCAGCGCCGUCAACUUUUUCGUCCAACUUUCGACGCCCUUGGUGGUGCGUGGGGGUACCUGAGGUACCCUAUUAUAUGUUUUGAUGUCUUGAAUCCAUUUAUGACGUCCGUUUUUCGAAAUUCAAUCAUCAUGGUAGAGUUUUAUUAAUUGGACCCUUUAUGUGCUUAGGUGCGUUUAUUAGCGGCGUUUCUGUCCUUCCUAUUUUGCACGGCUUUUUGACGACAGAGUAUCUGUGAUUGGACCCCUUCCAAAAUGCAUGUUUAAAUUGCUAGAACUGCAUACAUGAAAAUCAUGAUUUUAUGAAACGUUUACGAGAAAAUUGGAUUCAUGUGUGGGCCGAAGUAACUAGAUGUUGUCUAGAACUGAUACUCGAUAUGAUGCGGUGUUCAAUGUGAAAUGAUGCUCAACUAGAAGUAGCACAUGUUGUGAGGCUGUUCGGCUUGUGGCUUAUGUUGCCUUGGUUGGCUCGACUUGUGGCGUUGAAGGUGAGGGAGUCAUUUUUAUAGAAUAAGGGCUCGCUCCUCAAUCCAUAAAUGAUGGGCUAGAGUUGAUGCUGACGGCGAGGCGGUUGCUCAGCAGGUGGUGAUGCUCUCUAAUGAUGGCCAGAAAGUCCCUUUUAUAGAAUAAAGGCUCGUUCCUCAAUACAUAAGUGAUGGGUUAUGAGUGAUGCUCGCGGCGAGGCGGUUGCUCAGCAGGCGGCGAUACAUUCUAAUGAAGGUGAAUAAGUCCCUUUUAUAAAAUAAGGGUUUGCUCCUCAAUACAUGAAUAAUGGGUGCUCUCUAAUGAAAGUGAGGGAGUCAUUUUUAUAGAAUAAGGGUUCGCUCCUUAGUACAUAAAUAAUGGGCUAAGUCCCCCAAGUAUUUUUCAUGAGGCCCAGUUGCGGCGAGACAGUUGCUCAGCAGGCGGCGAUGCUCUCUAAUGAAGGUGAAGGAGUCCCUUUUAUAAAAUAAGGGUUCGUUCCUCAAUACAUGAAUAAUGUGUGCUCUCUAAUGAAAAUGAGGGAGUCCCUUUUAUAGAAUAAGGGUUUGCUCCUCAGUACAUAAAUAAUGGGCUAAGUCCCCCAAGUAUUUUUCAUGAGGCCCAUUUGCGGAAGCCCAAUAUAUGGUACAUAGUGUAGUCCCCCAAGUCUUCAGUCAAGAGAGUCUGUUGGCUGGAGACUUCAAAUUCAAUCCAUGUAUGGGCCGAAGUGGCGGUUGUUCGGAAGCGGUCUUUGUAUACCAUGCACUGAAGCUUUGUAGGUGAAGCUUUGAAAGUGAAGUUUUAUAGGUGAGGCUUUGAAAUUGAAGCUUUGAAGCUGAAGCUUUUGUAAAUGAAGCUUUGAAGUUGGAGCUUUGUAAAUGAAGCUUUCGAAGCUGGAACUCUGUGAAAGAAGCUUUCGAAGCUGGAGCUUUGUAAAUGAAGCUUUCGAAGCUGAUUGACAUGAGUGAUGCUUAUGAAUGUUUAUGUUGAUUGACAUGAGUGAUGCUUAUGAAUGUUUAUGUUGAUUGACAUGAGUGAUGCUCAUGGAUGUUGAUAUGAGUGAUGCUCAUGAAUGUUGACAUGAGUGAUGCUCAUGAAUGUUUAUGUAUGAUUGACAUGAGUGAUGCUCAUGAAUAAUUUUGGAGUACUCAACGUACUUUUGAUCACCUAGUUGGUGAUAAUAGCGGCAGGCUGCCGAAUAAUUUUGGAGUACUGGACGUACUUUUGAUCACCUGGUUGGUGAUAAUAGCGGCAGGCUGCCGAAUAAUUUUGGAGUACUGGACGUACUUGGUUGCCGAAUAAUUUUGGAGUAUUGGACGUACUUUUGAUCACCUGGUUGGUGAUAAUAGCGGUAGGCUGCCGAAUAAUUUUGGAGUACUAGACGUACUUUUGAUCACCUGGUAAUAACGACAGGCUGUUGAAUAAUUUUGGAGUACUGGACAUACUUUUGAUCACCUGGUUGGUGAUAAGCAAGUGGGUGUCUGAUCAGACAAGAGAUCACCAUGACCACGUGGCUCAUCAGUCUAUAAGUUGGUAGACUUCUGUAAUCAACAACAAUGUUGAUCAGUAGAUCUAGUUGCUCAAUAAUUCCUGACAAUAAAUGACAGUACCGAGACUUAGAUAGAUAACCAGUCAGCCUCGUCGCAGUGUUGUUUAUCCAAAUUGAAGGUGCUUCGCGGUCGGCUGAUUCUACGGCUACAGUGCUAUUUAUCCAAACUGAAGAUGUUCGUCAGUUGCCUUCACAGUGCUAUUUAUCCAAACUGAAGAUGUGUCGGCGGGAAAAAAAAAUAAAAAUCUCAAGGUUGUUGAGAGGUUUUGCGUAGAACGAUAGUUUGUGCAGGACAAUUUGUGUGUUGAAUUGGAGGGGUUGGCAUGUUGCAUAUCGUCUUAUAUUUAUAAUAGGAAGGUCUCCUUCAUACUUUUUAGCUGCGACCUGCCAAUACGUUUUCCAAAUUGCACCCGUCUCUCUGUGAUGCUAUCGGAAUAUUCUUGAUAUACCACCAAUGACCAAACCAAAUCCCUUUUGAUCUCCUUGUGAACCUAAAUAGAAAUUCAACGCGUAUGUCGAGCCCAGUAACGUGGCCUUCCAUUAAUAUUAAAACAACUCAUCCAGCCAUGAUAUCUAAUUCCACACGCUUCAACAUGCAAAGCUAAUUGCAAGCAGAUCGCAAUAUCACCUCACUUGUGAUUAUCACUUCUCAUUAUUUUUACCUCAUCAUUAUCCCAUACAUGCAUGAAGAUCAUGCAUCUUAACGAUUCUGAUCAAACCCAUGCUGCUUCAAUACGAUGACAAGAAUUCCAAUCACGUUCGAACCACCGCUUGCUUGGGGAUAUAAUAUGCAUCCUAUCUAUCCUAUUUAAAAAUAUGCUAAGAUAAUUCAUAUUAAAAGAUAAUUAUUAUGAUAAAAAUCAUAAUAUUAUCCUUUAACAAUAACAAAAUUAUCUUCACUUUCCAUCCAACGGUUGGGAGCUAUGCUCAGUCAAUGGCCUUAAUUGCACGGGCCGAUAAUGUAGUUUUAGGUCCAAACAGACUUUUAUGAUUAUAUUGGCACAUUUCAAAGUUAAGCCCUUCACGCAAGUUGUAAAGCUUAUCAUUACGAGCGUUUAUAUAUAUUUUUCUAUAUUUUUCACACUUCUACAUUAAUUAAAAAACUAUUAAAGACUUUACUUAAACAAUAGUCAUAGGAUAAAUGAGAAGAGAGUGCUAAUGUAGAAAGCCUCACUGAAAAUAUCAUCAAUAUAACUCUUGAAGACAGUAUUUCAAACCAAAGUUCCCCAUUUCCCAUGGUGAUUGAUGAAAAUUGAAGAGUUUGAUUGUAAGAAAACGUGCAAGGUUCCAAAUCUUGAAACAUAACUCCCUUAAUUUUGCAAAUCUUUUGAACAUUUGAUAUUUUGUAAUGUUCUAAUGUUUUUUUUUAUUUUUUAUUAUGCUCUUAUUUUGGGUAUGUAAAUAUGUAAUACUUGAAAGACAAAUGCGUUUUUAUGUUUUGAAUGUGAUAAUAUGGUAUGUAUAUACUUAUUUAGUAUUAUGUUUUUCAUUUGAUUAUUUAUUGGUUUAAAAUAUAUUUUCCUUAACGGAUAACGGGUCAGGUCAUAUUACCUGUUAAUAUUAUCGGGUUGAUUUCGGGUCGGGUCAUUUUACCCGUUUAUUUUAACGGGUGUUACACGAUACGACCCGUUAAGAUAUUGAGUAUGACACGAAAACAACACGAAUACGGGAAACACGACACAAAUGCCAAGUCUAAUUACGGGUCAACAUUUUACUAGAGGUUUCUAUUGUAUCAAUCUACUCUUGUAGAGGUAUAUUGUAUCAUUGAAGAACACAACACAAAUAGAGAAGUUCAUAUAAGUUAUGCUAAGCUAGAGAUAAAGAGUAGAAUAGGGAGAGUUAUUUUUGUACUCCUACUAUUUCAUAUAAUGAGAGAAAGUACGACUGCUGCUCCGAUGAUGUAGACACACUUGCCGAAUCUCGUAAAUAUUAUGUUAUAUUUAUUUUAUAUUUCACUACACAAAUAUCCUCAAUUUCACAAUAUUACCAAAAUAUUUACAUUUCCUAGUCAAAAUAAGUAUUUCAUACUCCUUUAAGAUUGUUCAUUGGUGAGAUUGCUGGCAGAUAAGAAAUACAUGUGUUUUAAAUCUUAAAAAGUAAAAGACAAAAAAUAUUAAAAAUUUUGGGUAAAAACGUAUAAGCAUGGAAAUGCCCUCUUGGCUAGUGCAUGCCCCACCUAUGUACGGUGCACUUUAGCACUCAUAAUUUUUUUUUUCAUCAGUCAAAGCACUCAUAAAGGUGUUUUCCCAAAGGAGCGACAGACUUCAGGCCAAAGAAACAAUAAAGGAAUAAAAGAACAACGAAUUCACAUGUUAUUGAAAUUUAUUACAACUAUUUCUUAUUCUUAAAUCAGUGAUGGUCAGAAUUGCUGAUUUUUUUAUUUUUUUAUUUUUUUUAUAUCACUUCGUAAAGAUUAUUUAAGCAAAAAAUUCAAUUAAAAUUAAGUGUAUUUAAUCAAUUAAUUAUAACAAAUAGAUAGACUGUUAGUAAUGUUUUUACUUAUUUCGAUCGUCUGCUUUUAUAUAGCUUGAUGGUCAAACGAUCUCAUAAUUUAUCAAUUUUUGUAGACAUAAUCAUUAUGUAAUAAUUUAUAAUAUUAACGGUUUUUAUCAUAAGCACAAAGUUCUUUAAAUUAAUCACAAAGUGUUUUAAGAAGGAAUUCCUUCUCAUCAUGUUUGAGUAGCCAAAUUAAUUCCAAUAAAAAAAUAUACUUUUGUCUUAGAAUUUGAACAAAAAAUAAAUUCAUUUGAUAGAAAAUCAUUAACAACAGAAAAUUUUAAUUUAUUAAAUUUAAUCAAUGAAUUGGUAAUAAAAUACACAUCAAAUUUAAAUUUUAAAAGACAUUUUUUAGUUACAGAACACGAACAAGUAAGAAUUGAUUUAGAGGAUCGAAUCAAAAUUUUUAAAAUUAUUAUUUGAUGCAAUUAGAACUAUUUCCAACGACAAAAGGGUUAAAAAAAAUCUAUUCGAAUAAAAUAAAUUAAUAAGGCCAUUUAGUCCAAUAGUCUAGUGAUAUUUCUGUUGACUUGUAAAUGAGAGGUUUUAGGUUCAAUUCUCCCCAAAGGCGAAUUUGAAGUACAUUAUUGCUACCCAAUUGUGAGGUUAGUCCAUCAUUUCUCCCUUAAUGUAAAUACUAUCGUAUGUUCAAAAAUAAAAAAUAAAAAAUACAUUUUCAGAAAAGAAAAAAAAAGUAACACAUUGAGAGAAUGAGACAGAGAUUAGAUACAUGCAUAUGGUCAUAAUUUUGAGCACCCAUGACCUACAAGUUCAUCAUUUUCAUAGCCAAGUAUAGUUGGACAACCAAAUCCAAAUGAUUUCAAAAGUACAUUGAAAAAAAGGAUCCUAUCUUUUACACCAAUAUAUCUAAUAGCAACUGCUACAUAGAAUAACACCACCAAACGAAGAGGUAAAGCAGAGUCAGCACACCAAUACUCAUUAAACCAACAACCCCGUUAAUGGCCUUCAUGUUCAAACAUAUUUAAAAAAAAAAAAAAUUGAUUAUAAUUUACCAAUGUACGCGUAGUCAACUUGAAUAGAAAAAUAUGCUCUAUAUAUACAUUUUAAUUCAAAAUUUUCACUUCACAUUUUAAAUUAGAGAAAUUAGAAUAUCGCUGAAAUAAAAGAUAAUAAUCUAGUAUAAUUUCUCACAAAAAUCUCAAAGGUAAACAAUGAUAUACAUAAUCCAUAAGACCACUUGGAAAACAUUGCUUUCAUGGAUGAAAAAUGCCCCAAAAAAUUGAAAGUAAUUACAAGAAGUCAAGAGAUGUGGAAAGAUAAAUUUGAAGCAUUAGAGACAAAGAUGGUCUCCUAAACAGAAAAUACUAAGUAAUUAACAAAUACUUAUCUAUUGUGGAGAGGAUUUGGGCCAGUGUAGAUGGUCCUCUUUUCAACACCAAAAAUUUCAUCAUCAUUAUCACCAAGUUUAUGAUCUGCAUUUGUCUUGAAAACAGCUUGGGGUGGAGGAUUAAGGGGAUUGAUUUCAGAAGCUGUUGUUGUUGGGAUUGCUUUGAAUCUGCUAGGGAUGGACUUUACCUUAUAAUUAUUAUAUCCAGCUGCUGCAAAACAUGGAGUCUCCAACUGAAGUAGCAUCAGAACCAGUAGAGACAAGCUAGCCACCUCUGUUGUUCUCACUCCUAUCUGCUGCUUCCUUUUCUUACCCCAAUAAUCUUUCAUGGCCGCAUAUAUAUUUAUGGACCUCUCUUUCUCUCUCUCUCUCUCUCUCUCUCUCUCUCUCUCUAUUCUUCAACAAGUGAAGAUAUUGGUGGUGUGUGAGGCAGAGAGAGAUGUAUAUGGUAUGGUAUGGAAGGAUCGAUAUGGGUGAGGAAACUUUUUGGGUUGUUUGGUUAAAAGUCAAUUGAUUUUAGUGGGUGAGAGUCAAAAUUCAUAGGAUUUAGAACCGCAAAACAAAAAGAACAGAAAAAUGCAUAGGAUUUGCAGCAGCUGCUGCUUGCUUCUGUAAAUAUGGUGGUGAAACUUACUGAAAAGGGGUGUGUGUCGUUGGAAAGUUGGAAACUUCUUUUGCUACUAAUUUAGCGCCAACUAGUUUUUGUUCUUGGGGAACGCUCUACAAAUGAACGAAAGCUGUACAAAGGGUUCCUGCUCAACCUUUUUAUUGAUCUCGGGUAAUGUGAGAUUAACUAUUUUUUUGGGUUUUACUUUAUUUCUAAAGAAAGGUUUUGCUAGAAAUAACACUAGUGUGGGAGCUGCCUUGGAACUAGACUUGUUAUUCGUGUCGUAUUUUUCAUGCUCGUGUCAUUUUUAUGAUAUUUGAUAUCUUACCUGGACGUGUGUCGUGUAACACCAUUAAAAUAAACAAGUAAUAUGACCCGACCAGAAUCGACCCGUUGAUAUUAACAUGUAAUAUGACUUGACAUGUUACCUAUUAAAGAAAAUAUAUUUUAAAUCAAUAAAUAAUCAAAUGAAAAACAUAAUACUAAAUUAGUAUCUACAUACCACAUUGUUACAUAAACAUACAUUACUUCAAAGGGUGUAAUAUCCACACACCCUUUUAAUUUUCGGCCAUUGGAUCAGAUGAAUUGAAGAAGAUCAAAGGACAUAAAUUAAUAAGGAGUGUGUGAGAAGUAAAAAAAUUCGGCCGUUGGAUUGGAUUAAUUGAAGAAUAUCAAAUGACAGAAAUUAAUAAAGGAUGUGUGAGAAAUUAAAAGGGGUUUGUGAAUAGCACACCCCUACUUCAAAACAUAAAAACAAAUUUGUUUUUCAAAUAUUACAUAUUCCAAAAUAAGAGCCUCAUGAAAAAAAUAUUAGUACAUUACUACAAAAUAGUUUUUUAAUUGAUAUAAAGGUUUGAAAAAUAUAAAAGAAUAUAUAACCGCUUGUAAUGACAAGAGCUCUACAACUUUUGUGAAGAGAUCAUAUCCGAAAUUCGGCACUAUAAUCCCAUAAACCAUAGAUUUAAAUUUAACCAUUAAUUGUCAUUUAUGUUUAUGCUCCAUUCUUCUCACAUAAUUUCAUUUUUUAGAUUUUCAUUUUUUUAAACUUGUGCAAAAAGAAAAACAAUUUGGAUCGUUCAUAUCAAGUUCAAAUUUUUACAGUUAAUGAAAAUAUUGAUUGGUGUGUAUAAAGUCUCUAGAAACUAUAUAGCAUCAACACAUAUUUUAGUUAACCGUAAACAUUGGAACGUGAUAUCAAUGAUAUGAACCGUUCAUUUUCUGCAUCCGCUAAAAUGUUAUGUUUUAAAAAAAAAGAAAAUUUGAAAAUGAAAUCCGGUAAGAAGAAUAGAGCAUAAACGACAAUUGAGGGUUAAAUAUAUAUCUAGGGUUUAUGGAUUACAGUGUGGGAUUUUGGGGUUAAGCACUUCACGAUAGUUGUAAAACUUGUCAUUGCGAGCAAGUAUAUAUUUUUUUCUACAUUUUUCACAAUUCUACAUUAAUUAUUAUGAAUAUUUAUUAAUUUUGCACUAAAACAAAAAUCUACUCAUUAGGGUUAUAAAAAUCUAAACAACGAUUUAACCAUUGUCUAACCAUGGAGAACGCAAUCACGAGCGUUUAUAUAUCCUUUCACAUUUUUCAACUUGUACAUCACCUAUUAUGAAUUUUUAUUUAUUUUGAACUCCCUCUAAAAAUACUAUUCAUGAGGGUUUUUAGUAUUUUAAAGUUCAAACGACAAUAUACCCAUCAUCAAAGCGUAGAGGAUGCGAUUACAAGCAUUUGCAUAUUUUUUCACACUUGUAAAUGAAUUAUUAUGAAUUUUUAAUGUGCUCUGGUAUUUUUAAAUUACUUUGUAAUUUUAAUAUGCUUUGGAAAUUUUUAAUCUCAGGGUUUAGUUUAAAAUUAUCAAACUAACUUUGUUGAUGCACAAACUGGAGGGGUCUUGGAACAACGUAAAUCCGACCGUGAAUCUGCAAGAAAGUAAAGAACACAAGAUGUAUCGUGGUUCACCCUAAUGUUCGGUCUACGUCCACACUGAUUAUUGUAUUUCUCUGAGAAGAUUGUGAGGGAGAGAGCCUCUAUAAUGUGAGAAUGAGGCUCUUUGAAUGUGAGGGAGUUUGUGAGGGUGAGAGGGCCUCUCCCAUGGCCUAAGGAUUGGCCUCCCUUAAUGAGGAGAGUGAGGGGUCCUUUUAUAGAAUAAGGGCUCCUCACUUAUUACAUAUUUGCCCCUUCCUUUAUUACAUAAUUAUAUUUAAGUCCCCCGAGUAUUUAUACGAGAUCUAAAUACGGAGGCCCUAGUUGCCUUGGUUGGCUCGGCUUGUGGUGUUGGAGGUGAGGGAGUCCCUUUAAUAGAAUAAAGGCUCGCUCCUCAAUACAUGAAUGAUGGGCUAGAGCUGAUGCUUGUGGCGAGGCGGUUACUCAGUAGGCGGCAAUGCUCUCUAAUGAUGGUGAGGGAGUCCCUUUUAUAGAAUAAAGGCUCGCUCCUCAAUACAUAAAUAAUAGGCUAAGUCCCCCAAGUAUUUUUCAUGAGUGCUUUCUAAUGAAAGUGAGGGAGUCCCUUUUAUAGAAUAAGGGCUCGCUCCUCAAUACAUAAAUAAUGGGCUAAGUCCCCCAAGUAUUUUUCAUGAGGCCUAGUUGAGGCCCAAUAUAUGGUGUAUAAUGUAGUCCCCCAAGUCUUCGGUUAAUAGAGUCUGUUGGCUGGAGACUUCAAAUUGGAUCCAUGUAUGGGCCGAAAUGGCGGUUGUUCGGAAGCGGUAUUUGUAUACCCUGCACUGAAGCUUUGUAGGUGAAGCUUUUCAAGUUGAAGCUUUGAAGCUAGAGCUCUGUAAAUGAAGCUUUCGAAGCUGGAGCUUUUGUAAAUGAAGCUUUUGAAGCUAGAGCUUUGUAAAUGAAGCUUUUGAAGCUGAUUGACAUGAGUGAUGCUCAUGAAUGUUUAUGUUGAUUGACAUGAGUGAUGCUCAUGGAUGUUGACAUGAUUGAUGCUCAUGAAUGUUGACAUGAGUGAUGCUCAUGAAUGUUGACAUGAAUGAUGGUCAUGAAUGUUUAUGUAUGAUUGACAUGAGUGAUGCUCAUGAAAUGUUUAUGUAUGAUUGACAUGAGUGAUGCUCAUGUAUAAUUUUGGAGUACUGGACAUACUUUUGAUCACCUGGUUGGUGAUAAUAACGGCAAGCUGUCGAAUAAUUUUUUAGAGUACUGGGCGUACUUUUGAUCACCUGGUUGGUGAUAAUAGUGGUGGGGUGUCGAAUAAUUUUGGAGUACUGUGCGUACUUUUGAUCAUCUGGCUGGUGAUAAUAACGGCAAGCUGUCGAAUAAUUUUUUAGAGUACUGGGCGUACUUUUGAUCACCUGGUUGGUGAUAAUAGUGGUGGGGUGUCGAAUAAUUUUGGAGUACUGUGCGUACUUUUGAUCACCUGGUUGGUGAUAAUAGCGGCAGGCUGCCGAAUAAUUUUUGUAGUACUGGACAUACUUUUGUUCACCUGGUUGGUGAUAAUAGAGGGCCUGGCUCUUUUGGGCAUAUGGGCCUUCGCCCUCCACAUGACAUUCCAGCCCAUUAUUUUGGGCUUGCCAUUUUUUAUUUUUUAUUUUUUAUUAUUAUUACCCUCUGAUGGGGUUAUACAGAUAUUUUCGAAAGAUACGAAAAAUAAAUUAAAUCAUUCAAAAAUAAAUCCAACCCUCUGCUCAAUGGGUCACGCCCAUAAUUCCCUUUUCUGGAUGCCAUCACCACCACAAUUAUGUCUGCUUUUGCUUUCUGCUUUUACUUUCCUUUUUUCUUUUCUGCUUUGCUUGCUUUCUCAGAAAAUGGGAACAUGCAUGAUGAAAGUGUGGGCAUCUUCUUUGUUGCUUUUCCUCUUCUGCUUGUUGGUUGUAAUGGUCAGUUGGCAGAUGGCAUACAAAAGGAAUAAUAAUAGGAUUGUUAUUGAGAAAGCUUAUCUUUUUCCUGUUUUCCACUAGUGCUCGUGGUAUUCGCAGGAGAUGGGAUCUGAGCAUCAACAAGGCCGCUAACAUGAGCCAUGUCGCAGGAGAUGGGAUCACCGCUAACGUGAGCCAUGUUGCAGGAGAUGGGAUCACCGCUAACGUAAGCCAUGUCGCAGAAGAUGGGAUUUGAGCAUCAACAAGGCCGCUAAUGUCCCCUGUGCCAGGGAAAUAAUCCCCAAACUUAUGAAAUGAAAAGGUAAUGACCCUGUCUGUCGUGUAAAACGUCUCCUCAACACCGUCUCCAUGGUGAAUAUCAAUAUACUUUUCGGUGUGGUGCAAACCGCCAGCCCAAUUAAUUGAAAUAUCGUAAAUCCCAUGGUUGAGCUUUACAGCGCCGCUGACCGACCCGCUGGCGUAAGUCUGGCAAAACGAGUACAACCCAUCAAAGGCAGGGCAGUCCUCGUCGACAUUGAACCGCUUGAGCUGCCGCAGCUGGUCCUGGAAUUUCGUUAGAGCCUUACUUAAAUAAGGCCAUGGUUGUGUGCCAUCCUGUAUUGCAGUCCUUCAAGAAUCAUCAAAAUUUUUCUGAUAUUCAUCUAGCACCCCUGGGGCGGUUUGAUUUAAUAGAUCGAGAAAGCGAAAAGAAAUCGACGGUGGUCGUCAAUGGCAAGGAAAAAGAGAAACGAAAAGAGAAUGAAGCUAAACGCCACGUGUCUCUCUUCUGGUUUGUUUGUCUCUCUCUUUCUCUCUCUUCUGGUUUGGCAGGCUGCAAGUUUCGCCAACUCUUGGAUCAGUGUCGCCCAAGGCCUUGAUAUGGAUCUUCAAUCCCUCAUUAUAGCCUUCAAUGGACCGGUUCAUUUGACCCAGCAUUGAACACGUGUCCCCGAGCUGUAUGUGCCUAGAGAACGCAUUGAGCGCGCCAUCCACCACGUUUUGGAAAUCGGGGUGGGUUCGGAUCUAUCCGGAUCGGGGUGGAGUCAGGCGGGGUUUUGACGGAAACUAAAAUGGGCGGUAACGUCGCCGACGCCCUAGAGGACGCUAGAGCUGAUGACUUGGGUUUUGAAUGGAUGGAAGGAGAGGCUGCGACUCUGUGUUGUGGUGGCUGCGACUCUGUGCUGUGUGUCAUUUUUUGGGAUUUCUUCGCCACGUUUGAGGAUUUUGACCUCAUCUUCCAGAUCUCUGCUCCGCUUCUCAUUUGGAUGCGGCAAUGGGUUUCAAAACUUAAACUCGGGAAGGUGGCGAACAAAAGGCUUAAACUCAUCAUAACCACUUGUUGGCAAUGAAGGCCCAUCCAUGGACUCAAGCUCCGGGUCAACCUGUGGCGAGAAGAAACCAAUCAAGAGAUUCAAGACGUAGAUCCCCAAGCCAUAGGAGACAUCAUAGAACCCCAGGACAUAGUACACACGCAUAAUGUAAAUCACAGCCAAAACUAGGGUUCCAAGCUAUCUAUUCAUAGUGUGAGGCGUUGACCGAUCCAAAUAGUACUGGAAUGUUCUCGCAAAAUCGCUCCGCCAUUGGGCCAGUGGUGCCGCUAUCAUUUCUAAUUCCCUCAAUCGAAUCCGGAUUCUGGCGAGGGAGUUAGGGUACGGAGUCGUAUAAGUAAGGAAGUGUAUGUGGGGAGGAAGAUGGAGGAAGAAGGAGGUGCACAAGAGGAGCACAUGGUUAUUGAAAGCUGAAUAAGAUUUGAGGAUUAGGGUUUUGAAUUUAUGGUGGGAAGUGAGAAAUGAUGAAGCUUUGUAAUUGCAGGAGAGAGAUAGAGGAAAUGGAUUUGGUGUCUUCACAGCCUUCCCUACUCAGUGUGGCGGAGAUUUGAGCGUUGGGGUUUUUUGCAGAUUUUGCCCAUUUUGCAGAUUCACGGUGGAGGUGAAAAAAUGAAAGAGAACCGACAUAGUUUUUUGUGUCGAUUCCCACAGACGGCGCCAAAUGUUGAUGCACAAAACCGGAGGGAUCUUGGAACAACGUAAAUCCGACCGUGAAUCUGCAAGAAAGUAAAGAACACAAAAUGUAUCGUGGUUCACCCCAAUGUUCGGGCUAGGUCCACACUGAUUAUUGUAUUUCUCUGAGAAGAUUGUGAGGGAGAGAGCCUCUAUAAUGUGAGAAUGAGACUCUCUGAAUGUGAGGGAGUUUGUGAGGGUGAGAGGGCCUCUCCCAUGGCUUAAGGAUUGGCCUCCCUCAAUGAGGAGAGUGAGGGGUCCUAUUAUAGAAUAAGGGCUCCUCACUUAUUACAUAUUUGCCCCUUCCUUUAUUACAUAAUUACAUUUAAGUCCCCCGAGUAUUUAUACGAGAUCUAAAUAUGGAGGCCCUAAGUAUGGUACAAACAAACUUUUUUCUUAAUGGGUUACCUGCGUGUAAACCUAUUAAGAACCUGAUUAGUUAUCGUGUUGACUUGAAACCCGUUAUUUUCGUAUUGUGUUAACAAGCUGUAUAAGAAAUUGUCAGGUCUACUUAGAACAUUAAGACAAGUCAAUACAGUUGGUCUUCGGUGCCAAUUUACUUUUAGGAUGUUAGUAAUAUUUUCGUUUGAAUUUUCUCAGUUCUCAUUCUCUUCUUAAGAUGUUGGUUGAUGAUCGGAAUCGCCUACUUUUUAGAUUACCCUUUAAGUAUCAUCUGUGCAAAAAGAUAAAAAAUAAAAUAAAAUCCGAGAAUGUUUAGUCAUCUAAUGGUUAUCUAAUAUAUAGACGACCCAUAUUUCUCACUUAAACACUGAAAUUUAACAACGUUAAGCGAACGGUUAACCCACUUCUUCUUUGGUUGAUUUUUUGUAGGAUCUUUAAGGGUGGACUAGAAAGUAGUUAGUUUCAAUCAUCAAGCAACAUUGCAAAAUGCGAAGGAGGCCCAAAAAGGUAGAAAAAUAAGGUUUAAAUGAAAAGGUUGCUAUCAUCCCUUUUUAUUUUUGGGGCAUGUUUGUGGAGCAAAAAAUAAUCACAAGGCGACACGUGGAUUUUUGGACAAAAGAGGACAAAAAUACCCUUGAGCUACAACGGGAUUCCUACGUGCGAGCAGCGGGCAAUCAUCGUUCAACCAAAUAAAAAUGCCCAAAAUAGGUAACAAAUUCAAAAGUAUUUCAUCCAUCCACAUCCAUUCACGUGGAAGAGCAGCCUAGACCAGCAAGUCACGGUUGGAGGCAGCUGAGAGUUCCACUACCUUAACAAAGGCAAAUUCAGGAAAAAAUACAGAGACUUUUGACCAAGCGAUUGCAUAAUUUCCAACAUAAUGAGGUCAUCCAUGAGGCACUAUGACGGAACAUGACUAACAUAAGCAGGUCACCCUUCAUGGACGAGAUCGAGCAGGCAGAGCCUCCACACGAGUUCAGCAUGCCGUAUUUCACAUAUUUCAAAGGGGAUGAAGACCUGAAGAGACACCUAAAGCACUAUAGAAGCGCAAUGAUCUUUUAUUGAAACAACGAUGAUCUCAUGUGCAAGAUAUUUAUCACUACUCUACAAGGUGAGGCGUAAGAUUGGUUCUACACCCUGCCGCCACAAUCCAUUCGGAAUUUCGACGAAUUUUCUUUGGUUUUCACCAAAGAAUGUUCAUCCUGUUGCUCGAUAAAAAAGAAGUCCGACCAUUUGUUCGACGUCAAGAAGAACCCAAAGGAGUCGCUUCGUGACUAUGUGAGGAGGUUCAAAGUAGAGAAGCAAGGAUAGUCAGAUGCAAUGACUCGAUAGCUAGAGCAGCUUUCCAAAAAGGACUUCUAGCAUACCACCACUGUUCGGAAAACUGAUAAUGAAAGAAGAUCUAACUUUGGCAGUCUCUUUCGCUCUGGCAGAAAAGCAUGCACUUUGGGACGAAGUUCGUCGAUGCCCAUUCAAGGCAAAUUCGAGCGAUGUUGAAUGUGAAGUUCCUCAAUACUUUGAAGAAGAUUCAAAGUCUGACUGGACAAGCAGCCGCAUCUGAAGCAGCAAUAAGCUCUACUAUCAUACGAGAAGAGUUAGGUUCCCAACUACUUGUAUUCUACAGUUUAAAAGCUUUCCUCAAUGCUAUCAGUUUCAUCCUCAUGACGUACUAUUUUGCCCAAUCCAGACGCGCGACGAUAAAGGUGUAGACCUUGGUGGAUGUAAAGUUUUCUGAUGAACGUAACAACUCGGCCCAAAAGACAUGCCAAGGGUAGACAAACAUUGGAAGGACACACUCGGAAGCAAGUUUUGUCCUCUUCACCCUAAAAGAUUCUACAUAAGAGCAACAUGUAUCGGCAGUCGAGUACCACAUCCUGCUACGCACCACAUGGCCUUAGUCGACCCUUGCUCAAUGAUUCAACUCUAGAGUGGCCCAAUACCGGUAGUUGAGCAUCUCAUGCUAUGUGUGACAUGGCCCCAGCUCGACGGCUCCCAACCAUGCAUUUAUGACGCAACAGAAUGACCCAACGACGCCCCGGAAAUAGCCAAACACACUCUAGUUGCGCCUACUCCACCCGAUGGAGACUUCUGGCAUUUGCAUGUCGACAACGCAUCCAACUACAAAGGUUCAGGAGCAGACAUGGUCCUUGGCACCCCAGGCAGUUCAAUGCCCGAGCAGGCGAUCAUUCUAUGUUUCAAAGCAUCUAAUGACGAAGUAGAGUAUGAAGCCCCACUAGCAGGCCUUCGAAUGACAAAAGACUUGGCGGUGAAAAAGCUUUCAAUUCAUUCCGAUUCCCAGCUAAUCACCAGCCAGACUACUAGGGGCAAAGGCAUGAUGAUCGUGGCAAUUGACUACUUCACCAAAUAGGUAGAAGCAGAGCCAAUGACGACCACAAUUCAGACGGACAUAAAGCACUUCAUAUGGAGGAACAUCAUUUGCCAAUUUGGCAUCCCUUAUUCCAUCGUCACUGACAACGGCCCGUAAUUUGUGGGCAAAGAUUUGGCGAAGUUCUUCCAACAAUAUGUCAUCAAGUAGCACAUGUCUACGCCAAGAUAUUCUCAAGGCAAUAAGCGAGCCAAAGCAUCCACCAAGAUGAUCCUUAACUGCCACAAGAAAUCCCUUACCAAUAAGAAAAGAAAAUGGCCAAACGAACUCCCUGGAUGUCUAUGGGCAUAUCGCACCACCAAAAGACGAGCAAUCAAAAGAAUAUGGCCACAAGCUUAAAUCUGGCAUAGGAGAAGUGCGAGCAGACUAUCACUCGCAUCGCAGCUUACCAGCAGCAGUUCCUCUCCACCUACAACAAAAGGGCCAAGAUCUGGCAGCUCUAGCCCGGAGUUCUAGUCCUAAGAAAAGCCUUCAUCACUACCUACAAAGAAGGCUCCAAAAAGAUGGAUCUCAUCUGGGAAGGUCCGUACAAGAUCAGUAGAGUAGGUGGUAAGAGUAAUUACAUCUUCACCACCAUGAAAUGAUAAAAAGAUAGAAAAGUAGUGGAGCGCCUACAAUCUGAAGAAGUACCAUGUGGGACCUCCCAUUACAUCAAAGCCUGAAGACUCAAGAAGCUCAACGAGUACCACUUCAUAAGCCGAGGACUAUCCAGUUGUUAUGCAGUUUCUACCUUACAGCUAAGUUCUCGUUCGUUUCACUUGUUUUUCAAUGAGGAAUUCUGCACUUCAAAAGAAGAUUGUGCCUUUCUUAGGGACUCAUCACAGGAAUUAUGCCCCUUAAGGGACCAACCAUGCUCUCCAGUGCGAGAGGGUAAACUAAUUUCUUUCCUGUGCGAGAGGGUAAACCAAUUCCCUGACACCCACAUGGGUCAGCUCUCCAAGACGGGAGGAUAAACUUUACACUAUGAAUAUCCAGACGUGGAUGAGUCUGGCUGCCCUAGUAUAACUAGAUGCACGAUGGCUUAUGCCGGGAUUCCUAGAAGUACGCUUAAUGGUUUUUUUUCAAGGCUUAGCUAACUGAAGGAUUUUGGGUCUCUUGGCGUAAUCCGCAGGGAACCGGGCCCUAGAGACGGAGGGGGCACAUUAUGCAGUACGCCCUAUAGACGGCUACCCUGGAACCCUAAAGUUGCUACCAAGUGCACUAGGGUAGCCUACAGUUUCCUGAAGACUGCCUACAGCUUACCCUUUGAGCAGUAAAGCUGCGCUAGACUUAUACAACCGCACAUUCUUGUGAAAGGUUAAACAAGCUAGCGCGCAUAUACAAAGUUUUAUCCAUUGCCGACAUGCUACGUAGUCGAUAAGCUUCACCUCUGCUAAGCGAGGAACAACUUUCACUAAGUCCUAAAGUAUUGUGAUACUUGCUACGCAAGCUACGAAAUUGGAGAAAGCCAAGGCUAACAGCCUCGUGGUUACGUGGACUUGUCUGCUUCUGUAAGUAAGGCGUCCCGCUGCCAACCUUAUGGCUAAUAACUUGGCAAAGUUCUACACCAACACUUACGACUACAUAGGCUACGCGAGCUUGUCUGCUUAUAAAAAAGUAGCAUGCCUGCCACUGGUCUAUCAAGUCUAAAGGUUAGGGCAUGAACAAAAGAAGCGAAGAUGAAGAAAAGCGAAAGAAGCAUGUUUAUAAACAAUUAGCAAAGGCCGAAGGGGUUCAAGCAAAACAGGAGCUGCAAGGAAAAACAAAUAAAAUCCUAAAGGCUACCUAAAAAACUACAGUAGCUUGGACAUCCCAUGACUACUCGGUCACCACACCUUCAGCUGCCGCGACGCUCUUAAUAGUGGCAUCAUCCGACGCUUCUCCCCCGGCUGCCCCAGCCUAGGUAUUAACUUCUCCAACUACUUCACCAAUGGAAGCCUCAAAGUAAAAGCAAGCAAGUCUUCCAGAGAAAUAGAUAAGGUCUCGAAACCUCAAGCUCAUCCUUCUCACCCUUCAUCUACUUAUUCUUCUCAAGCAGACCAAUACGAACGCGUUGUAGCUCAUCCACUUCCUUCUUCCAACGUUUGUUGAUCUUUAGUACACCUUGAAGUUCCAACACUUGGGGUUAAAGCCUAUCAAUGACCUUCUUGAAGUGGAUCACUUGAUUAUAAGCGUCAAUCAACUCUUCAUCCUUUGCAUAAGCAGCGAAACGAAUCCCAGAAAUUGCAAACUUAAGAUCUCGAAUCUGAGCUGCAGAGAAGUGGGGGCAAAAAUAUUAGACCCCUUCAAAGCAACAAGCUUAAAAUCCAACCUUUUGAUCUCCUUAGCUGAGGAAUAAGCUUCAGCUGCCAUAGUCUUCGCCACCACCUUGGCAGCCUUGCUAUAUAUGCAUCAUAGCAAGUAGAGCAGUCCUUUUAUAUUGGGUCGUAUGCUGUAAAGGAACUUGGGCAAACAACCUUUCUAUCGUCAUCAACAAGCAUCCAUGUCUUUAAGCAAAUCUAGUUUCAAAAGCACACAAAUCUCAGCAGCCUUCCUAGAAGCAGGCUUAGUGGAUUUCUCACAGCUGCUUACGUGAGCAAUCUCUUCUUUCCUAGCAGGCAAAUCAGUCUCAGCAGCAAAGGGAAUGGGUUUUGGCGCCACUUUAGCAGUAGAGUCCACCUUAUCGCUAUUCAUAUUAGCAAGCUUCUCCAAAGGUGAACCGAACUUAGCUCCCAACAGACAUCUUGGUAUAGACUUCGGCAUUGGGGGCAUGACAGGACCUUUAUGCUGAGCAAUUCUAUCAGUAAUCGUACUAGCCAUUCUCGAUAUGGCAGGCACCACAGGCUCAGAUCUAGCAGCCUUAUUUUUUUCUUCCUAUUGGAAGAAGUUAUGUCAAUCAAAAGCAUCUCGACAGCAGGAAGACCCUCAUGAGCAGCGGAGGAAGUCUUCAAUUUUUCUCGACCAGCAUCUCUUGAGCAGGCGGGGAAUAUCUCUUCUUUCCAUCUUCAUUCAUAGUAGGCUCCACAACAGCGAUUAGACGAGCCAAUGCAUCCGCCUUGAUCUUCUUUACCUCCUCUUUAGGGAGCAGCCCACCUUUCUCUCGGUAAAAAGAACUCAGUAGCCAACGCCAUUCACGGUACUCAGCAGAGGAGCUCAACUUAGCAUUCUAGUAGGCAGGAGGCCUGCAUACCUAGCAUUCCAGUAACCUAUAAGGCCCAUGACCUCUUCAUUUCUUUUAAUCACCAGCUUGGCCUAGUAAGGUCCAAGAGCCUAAAGGACAUGAGCCAUAUAGCUCGCCUAGCACUGCGCCCCAGCGCCAUAAUCCAUGGCCUUGGCCGCACAAGCUGCCCUUGGCUCUAGCGAAGCCAAACAACCCAAGCAGUGGCCUCUGCCACGAUGCCUCAUCGACUCAUGCCGAGCCAACUCCUGGCCCUUGCCAGCAGACGUGUCACACCAGCCCGACGGCUGCCCCGUAAUAGCACUAUCCAAUAAGAAGACAAGAAAAAAAUAAUUUUUUCUUACAUCGGAACGACACGGAGAAGACGAAGAAAUCAACGAAAGACGGUCCUUUACAUGAGCAAGAUGUAGAAGAUUGCUAGAGGAAGGGGAACAAAUAUCCUCUAAACUUUUUCUCUCUUGUAGGGUAGAAUAAAUCACUCUCCAAAGUUGAUUUAAUAACCCACUUAAGGUGGACUUAAAUAGGCUUUGAGAGAAAUUUAUUUUCCUUUCCUAGAAGGACUUAAUUUCCUAUUAAAGAGAGAAUCUACAUCAAAAUAGGAAGCAGUCCUACGUUUCCAAAAUCAAGAUGAUCUCUACACCUGCUGCCCUUUCCUACGAGCAGCCUAACAGGUGUGGGGGCAUUUGUGGAGCCAAAAAUAAUCAUAAGGCGACACGUGGAUUUUUAGACAAAAGAGGACAAAAAUACCCUCGAGGUACAACGGGAUUCCUAUGCGCGAGCAGCGGGCAAUCAUCGUUCAACCAAAUCAAAAGUGCCCAAAAUAGGUAACAAAUUCAAAGGUAUUUCAUCCAUCCUCAUCCUAUAUUUUCCACAAGGUAAUUAUUACAUAACCUUCAAAACAUCCCAUAUAAAUUACAUAACUCCCAAAAUAUUUAUUCCAAAAAUGUGUUGAUUAACCAAUUAGUGGAUUAAUUGCCUAAUUAAUCCAUUAAAUCACAUAGUAAACCAUAGGUUACACCCUAUCCCUAUAAAUAGGCUCCCAUUUUCACCAAAAGAUCAUUCCAACACACUUGCAAAAUUCCCAAUACUCUCCAAACACUUUUCUUUCUAAAUUCUAACUUUGGCAUUGGAGGUUCUUCGGCCAAAGCCCCCCCCCAAUUCAUCGUGGGCACGUGAGGCUCUUGACCUUGACCCUAAGCUGUUAAUUGUUUUGUAGGUGAAAUUUUGUCCAAGAUCAAGGAGGAAGAAAUUUGCAUGCACAAUGUUUAUAUACAAUUAGUAAGGAAUAAAUAUCGUUCUAUUCAUGUGUUUACUUAGAUGUUUUACAAUGGAUUAUAAGUGGAGAAUAUGUAAAUUGUAUAUGAAUUGUGGAAAAAUGUGUGGGAAAAGGUGUAAUAUUAAUCGUGUAAAGUACGUACGUCUGUGUAUAAUACGUGUAUUGAUGGCUGUGAAUAAUGGCUUGCACUUUCCAUUGAUUGUGAAAGAAAUCGACUUAGAGUAGCUACUCUUCUGGUUGUCCUUCACGUUCGAGGGGACUUCAUCUUCAUAGUGGCCUUGAUAUAAUCCGGAUUAGGAUUGAUUCUGUGCUUGCUGACCUAAUAACCUAAGAACUUUCUUGACGCUGCUCCAAAAGUGCACUUUGUCAGAUACGGAGUAGAUCGAAAGAUUCUUGCAAGUGUGUAAGGUGAUCUUUCUUCUCCUUUCUCUUGGCCCCCAUAUAGUCAACGUAUAAUUCCAUUGUUUUUUUUUUAUUUCACCUUGAAGAUCCGAUUUACCAACCAUUGAUAGGUUGCCCUAACAUUUUUAAGGCCGAAAGGCAUAACAUGAUAACAAAACGUACCUUUUCGACGACAAAAGAUGUUUUCUCCAUGUUCGGCUCGUAUAUCUUUACUUGAUUGUUUCCAUAGUAUGCGUCCAUGAAGCUCAACAGCUUAUGCCCCCAAGGUAAUCGACGAGUAAGUCUAUUUGAGGUAUAAGAUAAGGAUUUUUAGGGCACGCCUUGUUCAAGUCUGUGAAGUCCAAACAAACUCUUUCCAUUUCCCAUUCUUUUUGUGCAUAAGGACCACAUUCGCUAACCAUUCUAGAUGAUGAACUUUGUUAAUAAAGUUGGCAUCUUUGAGCUUAUUUGUCUCCACUUCAAUGAUCUUGUUCCGCUUCGUUUCAAGGUUUCUCUUCUGUUGGACAACUGAGUUAAUGGUCGGGUACACAUAGAGAUGGUAAUAAAUAAUUAAAGGGUCUAUUCUAGGCAUGUAUAUCGCGAACAAAGCGGAUACAUUCUUGUUUACUUGCAGGAAAGCGGUGAACAACUCUUUCUCUUUAUGUGACUAUCUUGAUCCAUUUCUGGCUUUGCGCUUCGGCUUAUCGAGGUUGAGUGUGAUGUAAACAACAUCCUCAUCCACUUUGGAGUCGGAGAGUUUUCGUCUUGGAGAUCAAGGGGAAUGUUGAAUUCCUUAUAGCUCAUCUCUUGACUUUGAAUUCAACAUUCCCCUUGAUCUCCAAGACGAAAACUCUUUAAAUGCUAUAAGGAAUUCAGAGAGUCAAGAGAGUCAAGAGAGAGCACUUUGUGUUUUACGAAACAAUAACUAGAUGUAAUCAAUUCAUAUCACAUAUAUGUUCAUGGCUUUGAAUUCACCUUUAGUUAAAAUGAAAUUAGUUCCACAUGUUUGUAAUUAAACAAAGACAAUUAAAAUUAAACACUGGAAACAAAAGAUAGAAUACACCUAGAAACGUUCCAACAAUCCAAAGGUCUUGAAUGGCAGGCACGACUCCGAGCUUCUUCUUCUUGUCCUCCUUUGCAAAGCUAUGGCACUAUGUAUAUAUUUUUAUCUCUGAAUUUCUCUUUAAAUGCUCUCUCUUAACUUCUGCAGCAAUGGUGUAUUUAUAGGGCUAGGGCACAACACAAAGUUGUAGAGGAGAAGGAUAGGCACGGCAGAUUCCUAGGGGGAAAGGGAUGGGGUGGUUCGGCACAAAUUUAGGGCUUCUAGAACUAGAUAACAGGUGGUUUAAUAUGCAAAGGAAUUCCCCUUGCAGCUGGAAAUAAGGUAGGAUAAGAUUAGGAUAGGAUGAGAUAAGAUAAGGCUAGUUUGGAUAAUGUUGGAUAAGAUAAGGUUGGUUAAGAUAAUGUUCCUUCUUUUUAGCUGAUUCCUUAUCCUCCAAGUCUUGAUUUGAUUUCUCCAGAUUUGUAGCACAUGCCUAGCCUUUUUAAACUUCAAAAACGUCCAUCCAUUAUGCUCCAUUCAUAUGUUGUCCAUUCCAAACCCAAAACUACUCUAAAAUGCUGCAAAUUGCCUUUUGUUGCCACUUUUGCCAUUUGAACCUAAAAACACACAAAAAUGGCUUAAAACACUCUAAAAAGUAGAAACUAACUACAUAAAUGCAAGGAAACAAGCUAACUAAGUCGCAUAAAUAUGCUCAUAUCAUCUUCUAAAAACUAGAACAUGGGUCUUGAUUGGUUGCCUAUCCGGAGUUGAAGUACUCAAAUUUCUGAAUCCUAUGAAUGGAACUUGAGUAUACAUAAUGGUUCUACUAGCAUUCUCCAAGGCCUUUGUUGAUGCACAAAAUCAGUGAGGACUUUGGUACAACAGAAAGUGUCAAGUUUGUGACCUUCGCUAGAUUGCUCUGGUCACUAGUGUGGAUAAGUAUGUAAAUGGAUUGAGACAGGGAAGCAAACACAAGAUGUACGUGGUUCACCCAGAUUGGCUACGUCCACGGAGUAGAUGAGUUCUCAUUAAUUGUGAAUGGUUGAUGCGAAAAUUAUCUAAACACACAAAUUUAACCCUCUUUUGACAAUUGUAGUACAAGUAUAAGUAGGGAUCAUUCUGGACCGGGGAUAAGGAGGGCUUACUAAUAACCUCUAAACUGACUCAAAAACAUAAAACUAAACUUAAAAACACUUAACAAGACUCACAAGACUCAAAGCAAACUUAAAAUACUCAAAACAGCUUAAAACAACCAAAUAAACUUAAACUAGACACUAGGAAUGACUUUGGACGAAAAUUGACUUUUACCUAAAUCAAAACACUUAAAAACACAAACUAAACAGAUUUGAAACACUUUGAAACAAGAAACUAAAAUGGGGGUUUUGAUUUGGAUGAAGUUGAAACAAACAAACAAGUAUGAAAAACUAGACAGAUUGUAAAACAAAUAUGAGAAAUAAGAUGAUGGAUGGGAUAGCUAGAGGCUUUUUCUCCACACAUGACAUGUAUGCAAAUAACUUGAUUUCCAGUUACUACUUCAUUGAAUUAUGAACGACAAUGCUCCAAAUUAACCGUGACAUCACUAGUUAACUCUUAGAUUUUCCUUGUUUUAUUGGAUUGGAUGACAUCAUUCGACAACCCAAAACAUUCUUUAAAAGUUCCCUACAUGACAUCAUAAUAGAGAUACAAUCAAAGAUCAUUUCGUUUAAUGAAAAUCAUAAGCAUUGACAAAGCACUUGCAACUAUGACAUCAUGUCACUAUUGCUAGGAAUUAAACUUAACGCGAUCGUUUAUAAGCGACCACCACUACAUGUGAAUAUAAGUUUGUAACGAUUAUGUGAAACUUCCUUAUAUUCUAGCAACGGAUUUAUUCAUGUAAAUUAAGUGUCGACCCUUAAUUAAAAAAUACAAAUAAGUUAUCAAUCAAAUAGUUAAGCCAAUUGCAUUCACGAUUCAAGAGUUCAUAACUGGAAUUUAUCAAAUUAUAUUGCACACAUAAUCAUGGCUUUGAAAUCACCUCUAGCCAAGAGGGGUUUAGCCACUCAUAUUUACAACAAAAUGAAAGGAAAUGAAUUUAAACAUUAGAAACAAAAGAAAGAAACCACCUAAAUGCUCCAACAAUCCAAGUUAGACAGCAAGCACGUCCAAGCAUUUUCCUUCCUUUCCUUUGCUACGGCACAAGGUGUUGGUGAGUGUUUGAAGGUUUGUUUGUAUGGAGGAAUGGAUGUGAAGAUGAAUGAAUGUGUUUGGAUGAAGGUUGUGUUGAAAUGGGAGUGAAUGAUCUCACCAAGUAUGAACUCAAUUUAUGUUACACACACUUCCUUUUAUAGAGGAAGUGCAUGGCAAUGGAGGGGAACAUGGAGUGGUGUAGCAAUUGAGUGCAAUGAUGCAUGAAAUAUGAAAUGAUUGAAGGAACAAGGAAUGGUGUAGCAAUUGAGUGCAAUGAUUUAAUGUAAUGAUGCAUGAAUCUGAAAUGAUGGAGCGAACAAGGAAUGGUGUAGCAAUUGAGUGCAAUGAUUCAAUGUAAUGAUGCAUGAAAUUUGAAAUGAUGGAGGGAACAAGGAAUGGUGUAGAAAUUGAGUGCAAUGAGUGGUGUUUGAAAUGAUUCAAAGGUGAAAGUGAAGUGAUGAUGCAAAGUAUGGGGGUAAAAUGGAGUGGUGUUGCAGCUAGGGAACAUGAAUGAUUGUGCACAUGGUAGAGAAAGGAAAGGGAGGUGGAAUGAUGCAACAAAUGAGUCAAUGGGAACAUGGAUGAUGAUGCACGGCAUAGGAAUCCAAAGGGAGUGCAAUGGUGGUGCAUGGUAAUGAUGGAAAGGUGAAUGGUGGAGUGACACCCCUUUAUGGCUAAGCUCUUUGUCCUUUUUACAUUAAUUCUUCUUUCUCUUUAACAUAUUCCUAACCUCUUUAGUCUUCAAUUUCGUCCAUCCACCUUGCUCCAUGCAUGUGCUAUUCAUUCCAAGCCUAAAACUGCUCCAAAAUGCACCAAACUGCAUCUUAUUGCUUCAUAAGGCUUAUGGACCUACAAACACACGAAAAUAGCUUAAAAUACAUAAUUAACUAAGAAAUAACAACAUAAAUGCAUGAGAACAAGCUAACUCAGUUGCAUAAAUGUCCUCCUAUCAAGGGUCUACACAAGUACAUAGGUUCAAGCUCUCCUUUAGUGAGUAUUAGUGAAUGAUUUAGUACAAAUGACAUUAGGAAAUAUUGUGAGAGAAAGAUCUCUAUUUAUAGAAAAGAGUUUUUAGUUUCAUUCUAACAUUGACACGUGUCGUGUUAUGAUUGGCUUCUGAUGUCGACACGUGUCUGAUACGAAAAUUAUCUUAACACAUAAAUUUAACCCUCUUUUGACAAUAGUAGUACAAGUAUAAGUAGGGAUCGUUCUGGACCGGGGAUUAGGAGGGCUUGAUAAUAACCUCUAAACUGACUCAAAAACAUAAAACUAAACUUAAAAACACUUAACAAGACUCACAAGACUCAAAGCCAACUUAAAAUACUCAAAACAGCUUAAAACAACCAAAUAAACUUAAACUAGACACUAGGAAUAACUUUGGACGAAAAUUGACUUUUACUUAAAUCAAAACACUUAAAAACACAAACUAAAACAGAUUUGAAACACUUUGAAACAAACAAACAAGUAUGAAAAACUAGACGGAUUGUAAAACGAAUGUGAGAAAUAAGAUGAUGGAUGGGAUAGCUAGAGGCUUUUUCUCCACACAUGACAUGUAUGCAAAUAACUCGAUUUCCAGUUACUACUUCAUUGAAUUAUGAAUGACAAUGCUCCAAAUUAACCGUGACAUAACUAGUUGCCUCUCAGAUUUUCCUUGUUUUAUUGGAUUGGAUGACAUCAUUUGACAACCCAAAACAUUCUUCAAAAGUUCCCUACAUGACAUCAUAAUAGAGAUACAAUCAAAGAUCAUUACGUUUAAUGAAAAUCAUAAGCAUUGACAAAGCACUUGCAACUAUGACAUCAUGUCACUCAUGCUAGGAAUUGAACUUAACGCGAUCGUUUAUAAGCGACCUUCACUACAUGUGAAUAUAAGUUUGUAACGAUUAUGUGAAACUUCCUUAUAUUCUAACAACGGAUUUACGCAUGCCAAUUAAGUGUCGACCCUUAAUUAAUAAAUACAAAUAAGUUAUCAAUCAAAUAGUUAAGCCAAUUGCAUUCACGAUUCAAGAGUUCAUAACUGGAAUUUAUCAAAUUAUAUUGCACACAUAAUCAUGGCUUUGAAAUCACCCCUAGCCAAGAGGGGUUUAGCCACUCAUAUUUACAACAAAACGAAAGGAAAUGAAUUUAAACAUUAGAAACAAAAGAAAGAAAACACCUAAACGCUCAAACGAUCCAAGUUGGACAACAAGCACGUCCAAGCACUUUCCUCCCCUUCCUUUGCUACAGCACAAGGUGUUGGUAAGUGUUUGAAGGUUUGUUUGUAUGGAGGAAUAGAUGUGAAGAUGAAUGGAUGUGUUUGGAUGAAGGUUGUGUUGAAAUGGGAGUGAAUGAUCUAACUAAGUAUAAACUAAAUUUAUGUUACACACACUUCCUUUUAUAAAGGAAGUGCAUGGCAAUGGAGGAGAACAUGGAGUGGUGUAGCAAUUGAGUGCAAUGAUGCAUGAAAUCUGAAAUGAUGGAGGGAACAAGGAAUGGUGUAGCAAUUGAGUGCAAUGAUUCAAUGUAAUGAUGCAUGAAAUUUGAAAUGAUGGAGGGGACAAGGGUGAUUAUGCAUGGCAUGGGUGGAAAGGUGAGUAAGUGGUGAAUCAAUGAGUGCAAGGAGGUGAAAGGAUAUUGUGCACAUGGUAGACAAAGGAAAGGAAGUGGAAUGAUGCAACAAAUGAGUCAAUGUUUUGGACCCUUUUUUAACAAACUUUUUUCUUUUCACUCUUUGUUUUUUUUUUCUUUUCUACCCGUGCCUUAUUAAGGACUUUUGUACACACAGACACACAAGAAUCACUUCCCCCACACUUGCUUUCUGCAAUACAUUGAUAAAAAGGGAGUUCAUUUUAAGUUAUGCUUUACUAUGCCUCAAGAAGAAGGGUAUGGAUGGUCCUAAAACUAGGCUAGGUAAGGAUAGUGUGGAUUAACAAAGAGCAUAGGCUUAACAAGGCUCAACGGGGUUAAACUUAAACACAUAAUGAAAUAGGGGCACGACAAUUUGGCUUUGGUGGUCACUACACAACUUCAUCUUGAAUAUGUGUUAUGCAAAUCAAUAGCAUGCUUUGAAUGAAAUAGGCAUGAGCUCUAGCAUUUGGAACUAAAUGAUGAAAUGCCUUCUAAGUAGCAACCAAGCAAAGAAUAAUGAGAUCAUGCAACGACUUUGGAAAACAAUGAUGCAAAGAUUAUUAACUGUCCAAAUAAACGUUUAGGCUCAAGUCUCACAAGGUUGUAACGUUCAUUUGAGUUCCUUCCUUCAAGCAUGUUACAAAAACUGAUUUUUCCUUUAUGAUUGCAUGUGAAUUCAUAAAUUAUAACCACAACCAAGCAAACACCAAAGAGUAAAUCAAAUUUUCAUCCAUGUUUAUAACUCUCUUUAACAGUCAUGUAAUUAAAAAUCAAAUCCUCAUCAUUGUGUUGGAAGGUACCCUAAGACACAAAUAAACACACAAAAACAACUCUUUUUGGGUUUUUCAAAACAAAUUUUCAAAUUUUUAUGAGAUUUUCGGAUUUUUAUGUCAAAACACACUAAAACACUCCAAAACAGCUUAAAAACACUUAAAAACAGCAAGGAACAACACUAGAAGUAAUGGGCGAUAAACUCCUAUGAAUUUCAUGCAAAUCAAUUUGGUUAUCCCCCACAUACUUAAAUCAAACAUUGUCCUCAAUGUUUCAAGCAUAAACUCACACAAAAACAAGCAAACAAACAAACAACGAAUAAACAUGACAAGUAUGGCAAAUUAAAAACCAGACAGAGUAGAGUUUAAGAAUGCAAAUCUGGUUUUGGAGAUAGAUGAUUUUGUUGACUUUCCACAGCUUUGAUCUCGAACUGGUUUGGAAUUCUGAGUGAGGAAUAUCAGAGUUCCUUGGUUUCAAAUCAGACUCAUUCUGCUGGGUUGAUUUAAUUGUACAGUCUGCAUUCUUCUCUGCUUGUUUCUUCUGCAUGGCAGGCAGGCACGAGGUAGAGGUGAUGGUCUGUUUCUUUCUUUAAUCUUUCCAAGUGCCCACCAUUUGCUUUCUUUCUCCUUGUCCUUAUUUGAGGAUGAAUUAGCACAUUGUCUGCACAUGCUUCGAGGUAUCAUUUUCACUUCCCUUAUCUGUUCCCCAGGCAGAUAUGGUAGACGAAGAGGAAGCAUAAGAUGUUGGAGAUGAGUACUCGAGAGCAAGGUUAGGUAAGCAAUCAGGAAGGGGUUCCAGGCAGUCGGUUCCAGAUCGCAAGAUUGAUACCAAGUGCUGGCUGAUUGCUCUCUUUCUCCUUGUCCCAAAACAACGACAAGGAGAAGGACAGGGAGAAAGCAUGAUAUGAGAUACUCUUGCUUUCAACCUUCAUGAUAUGAAAUACUUUUGCUUUGGAUGAGUUAUUUGCAGAGGUACCCCAAGGAAUGAGGAACACUGAGUGACUCGAGAGACUUCGUUGGGAAGGCAUUCUCGGAGAUGAAGAAAGGUUAUGUAUGUCUGCCUUGCAAUGGAGGGUGCAGGUUGACAUUUAUAGGAAUUAAUAACCGGUACUAUUCUUUCACUCUUGUCAGCAACCGUUAGAUGAUUUAAUAGUAAACUUUACGUGCCUUCUACUUCACAAGAAAUCUUUGACAGCUUGCCUGUAAUUUCUGCAAGGCUGAGUGUGCAUGUGACAGGCGCUAACAUGUCAGGAAAAGCAAGUGCCUAUUUGAUAUCUAGAAUCGGCGCUUCGACAAACUGCCCGUGAUUUCCACAAAGCUGAGUGUGCAUGUGACAGAUGCUGACACAUCUGGAAAAGCAGAUGGCUCUCCGAUUUCUGAGCUUGCCUCUUUGAGUUCUGAGCUCACUUCUUUGAGUUUUGAGCUCCGUCGAAUGCAGAGGUUGCAUGUGACAAAUGCGGACAAAUCUGGAAAAGAAGAUUGGCUCGUGGUUUAUGAGCAAGCCCAGCUUUUGAGAAAGCUAGCGCCUCUUCGAUUUUUGAAUUGGCCUCUUCAAUUUCUGAGCUCGCCUUUUCGAUCUCUGAAAUCUUGUCGAGUGUUGAUUUUUAUUGAGGCGCGCAGUUCGUUUCAAAGCACACUUGAAUUUUUGCCUGUAGAAACUCCCUUCAUUGCACUUCUAAGAUCUCGAUUUGUCCGACCUCUUCUUUCUUCAACAACUUUGAAAAUGUCUGGCCCCUCCGAUAGUUGUUUUGACUUGAACCUUGGUGAAGAGGUAUCCAUGCCUUCUCCAAACAACAUAUGGCGCCCAUCCUUCAUAUCCCUUGCUGAUCCUCUUACCAUUGGGGAUUCGAUGAUGAAAAAUGAUAUGACCACUGCGAUGGUGGCUCGGAACCUUGUCGCUCCCAAAGAUAACAGACUACUUUCCAAACGAUAUGAUAAGUUGGCUGUUAAGGAUUCUCUGGCUCUCAGUAUGCAGUGUGCAGGUUCUGUGUCCAAUAUGGCCCAACGUCUAUUUGCUCGAACUUGUCAAGUUGAAUCAUUGGCGGCUGAAGUGAUGAGUCUCAAACAGGAGAUUAGAGGGCUCAAGCAUGAGAAUAAACAGUUGCACAGGCUUGCACACAACUAUACUACAAACAUGAAGAGGAAGAUUGACCAGAUGCAGGAAUCUGAUGGUCAGAUUUUACUUGAUCAUCAGAGGUUUGUGGGUUUGUUCCAACAACAUUUGCCUUCGUCUUCUGGGGCUGUACCUCGUAGUGAAGCUCCAAAUGAUCAACCUUCGAUACCUCCUCCUUCUGUGGCUCCGCCGACUACGGAGACUUCUUCUAAGCAGCCUUUGUGAAGGCUCUCUCUUGUAUUUUUCUACCUCCUGUUCAUUUUCCACGAAUUUUAAUGUAAAAGUACCUUGCAUAUCUGUCAAUGUUUCAAAAAUAAAGCCACACCAAAAACAAUUAAACAAGCAACAAAUAAAAAUGACAAUCAUGGCAAAAUAAAAAUGCAGAAAAGGGAAGGUUUUUAGGAACGCAAAACUAAUCGUGGAGCAAUUCAAAGAUCUUCCUUAUUUGAAUACAUGGGUUGCCUCCCAAAAAGCGCUUACUUUAACGUCUUGCAGCCGGACGAAACUUCCUUCUAAGCUUGGAUAGGGCCCAUAGCAUGGAAUUGAUCCUCUAAUGGAAGGUGAUACUUGACAUGAUCCGACAAUGGUUUAAAUUCUAGUGUAGGUGCCUGAAUCAUCAAAAUCAACAAGUUAGUAUAAAAUAAAAUCGAAGUUGGAAAAGAUGGCUUACUUGCUUGCUCCGACACAAACUCAAUUACGAACACCACAUCUUUGAAGGUUGUAGGGAUAUGGGACUUGGCCAGAUUUGGUGUUUUGAGAGUUAUGACUUGUCCCGUAUCAUAAAAUCCAACUUCUUUGGGAAUUUUUCAUCUCAAGUGUAUCUUCUUUGAUGAAUUCUAGACAUUCCCCAUCCACUUCUUGCUCUUGAUUCUUUGGAAAGGUUUCGAAGAUGCCUUUCUCACCUUCUUCUUCCUUGGAUUGCAUGAUCGUGCAAGGAAUAAAGACAUUUGGUGAAACUGGGUCAGGACGAAUUAAAUUUAGGCUUACCUUGGUUGUAGUGAACGGUAUAGAAGGCAUAUGGGGUUACGGCAAUGGUGGUUUUUCCCUUGUCGUGGCCUUGUUAUUCUCCUCUUCUUCGAGCAGCAGCUGUUCCUCCAUGUUUUGUCUUGGGUUCACCUUUAACCUCUAUCGCACUUCCCAAAGUGAUAGCAUCAUGGAUUUCAAAAUCUUCCUUCAAAUUUUCAAUAGUUAAGUUGGAGAGUUCACUUUGCUCUUGAAUUUGUGCUGUGAACUCCAUAAUCUCUCCAAGUUGAUUUUUCAAUUCGCUCAUCUCCUUAGCUUGAUUAAGCAUUGUUUCAUUUUGAUUUUGCUGCCCCUGCACCAAAGAGGUUAGAGAUUGAAAAAUUUGAUCACUAUCCGUGGGCAUACUUGAAUUUGAUUGGAAUUGUUGUAGGGCAAGCUGUGGUGGUUGCAUAGGUGUUAAAUAAAACUCCUCAGAUUGCUGCCAAUAUCCAUCUUGUUAAGCCUCCAUGGCUUGAUUUUGUGAGCCCUGCACCAAAGAAUUUAUUUCAUCAAAAAAUCGAUCAUAAUCUAUUGACGAACCUGAGUUUGAUUGAGCAUAUUGUAUAUGAGGUUGUGAUGGUUGCAUAGGUCUUGAAUAUAACUCAUCUUCUUGCUGCCAAUAUCCAUCUUGUUGGAAUUGUUGAGGUUCUAUGUAAUCUGAAUAAUCUUUCCAAUCCGAAUUGUAAGCGUUGGAAAACAUGUUGUCCCAUGAUUGGUUAUGGCCUUGAUAACCCCAAGCAUCUUCAUUCAUAGCGAAUUGAGAACAUUGAUGAGGUGGAUAUCCUUGCCCAUAGGACACACCACAUGUAGGGACACUUUGCAUUGUGGUCCUUUCGGCAUAUUGUGACAAUUGAGAAGUAAGUUUCGCCAAUUGAGCUUGAAUGGUAGCAAAAUCCAUGUCUUACUUCUCUAGUACCUGAAAUCAACCAAACUAAAUCAAAUAUCAAAUGUAAAAAUAAAAUACAUAAACAGAAACAAAGUCAGUAGCUAAAACAAACGACAAAAAAGAAAUAACGAGGGAUUAGCAAAGUUGCUAAUCCCCGGCAACGGCGCCAAAAACUUGAUGCGAAAAUUAUCUUAACACACAAAUUUAACCCUCUUUUGACAAUUGUAGUACAAGUAUAAGUAGGGAUCGUUCUGGACCGGGGAUUAGGAGGGCUUGCUAAUAACCUUUAAACUGACUCAAAAACAUAAAACUAAACUUAAAAACACUUAACAAGACUCACAAGACUCAAAGCUAACCUAAAAUACUCAAAACAGCUUAAAACAACCAUAUAAACUUAAACUAGACACUAGGAAUGACUUUGGACGAAAAUUGACUUUUACUUAAAUCAAAACACUUAAAAACACAAACUAAAACAGAUUUGAAACACUUUGAAACAAGAAACUAAAAGGGGGGUUUUCAUUUGGAUGAAGUUGAAACAAACAAACAAGUAUGAAAAACUAGACGGAUUGUAAAACGAAUGUGAGAAAUAAGAUGAUGGAUGGGAUAGCUAGAGGCUUUUUCUCCACACAUGACAUGUAUGCAAACAACUCGAUUUCCAGUUACUAUUUCAUUGAAUUAUGAACGACAAUGCUCGAAAUUAACCGUGACAUCACUAGUUAACUCUCAGAUUUUCCUUGUUUUCUUGGAUUGGAUGACAUCAUUUGACAACCCAAAUCUUUCUCCAAAAGUUCCCUGCAUGAGAUCAUAAUAGAGAUACAAUCAAAGAUCAUUACGUUUAAUGAAAAUCAUAAGCAUUGACAAAGCACUUGCAAUGAUGCAUGAAAUAUGAAAUGAUUAAGGGAACAAGGAAUGGUGUAGCAAUUGAGUGCAAUGAUUCAAUGUAAUGAUGCAUAAAAUCUGAAAUGAUGGAGGGAACAAGGAAUGGUGUAGGAAUUGAGUGCAAUGAUUCAAUGUAAUGAUGCAUGAAUCUGAAAUGAUGGAAGGGACAAGGAAUGGUGUAGCAAUUGAGUGCAAUGAUUCAAUGUAAUGAUGCAUUAAAUCUGAAAUGAUGGAGGGGACAAGGGUGAUUAUGCAUGGCAUGGGUGGAAAGGUGAGUAAGUGGUGAAUCAAUGAGUGCAAGGAGGUGAAAGGAUAUUAUGCACAUGGUAGACAAAGGAAAUGAAGUGGAAUGAUGCAACAAAUGAGUCAAUGGAGGGAACAUGGAUGAUGAUGCACGGCAUAGGAAUCCAAAGGGAGUGCAAUGGUGGUGCACGGCAAUGAUGGACAGGUGCAUGGUGGAGUGACACCCCUUUGUGGCUGAGCUCUUUGUCCUUUUUACAUUAAUUCUUCUUUCUCUUUAACACAUUCCUAGCCUCUUUAGUCUUCAAUUUUGUCCAUCCACCUUGCUCCAUGCAUGUGCUAUUCAUUCCAAGCCUAAAACUGCUCCAAAAUGCAUCUUAUUGCUUUAUAAGGCCUAUGGACCUAUAAACACACCAAAAUAGCUUAAAAUACAUAAUUAACUAAGAAAUAACAACAUAAAUGCAUGAGAACAAGCUAACUCAGUCCCAUAAAAUACUUCUAUCAGUGUUGCGCUGUGAUUGGUCUCCUAGUUGGAAGGAAACUCUUCUAGGUCAUUGACAGUAUAACGUUGACCGGUGCUCAACAGUUCGAGAUUGGUCAAGUAUGGUACAAUUAGUGCUCCCUUAAUUUCUCGAGUGAGGGAAGCUCCUCGGUUGGGGACUUGCACGAUCAAAGCCAUUGAGUAAUCAUGAAACUUCUAAGUACCGAAGUGUAGUAUUAUUUUCACUUGCCUUAUCUGUCUCAUACGUAGAUAUGGCAUCUUUUCUGGAAGUACUUUUCCUCCAUCCAGGGGUGGUAUCUUUAAACGAUGAAGAUGCACAAGGUAAUGUAUCAAUUUCACUUGAAGCUUACUUGUAGUUUCGGGCUUGGUCAAGUGCGAUACAAAACCCUUUAAUAGGAGUCCCCCAAGUCGCCGAGCUAGGAGAUUUGCCGAAAGAGGUAACAGACAAGGUAAUCAAUCAGACUUCCAAGCAAGCAACCUGGAUCAGAGGUUCGACUUCGACUUCCGAUUGAUUUUUCUCAUUCUCCUUGUGUCGUAAACAGCAACAAGGAUAAGAAGAAGCAAAUGGAGAAAAGAUGAUAUGAGAUAGUUUUGCUUUUGAAGAAGUAACUUUCCACAUGCUUAUUCUUGAACUGGGCCGGAGGGUUUUCUGGUUUCCUUCAGAGUAUAAGGCUGACUCAAGAAUUUGAAGGUCAAAACAAGUCCAUCAAAUCAAGAGUGCGUUCGACCUUGAUGAUAUGGGAUACUUUUGCUGUUGACGAAGUAAUAGAUGAAUCGGCACAUGUUCUAUUGCGUUUGUCUCCACAUGCUUCCUUGUAUCCUUUUCACUUGCCCUAUCUGUUCCUUAGGUAGAUGUGGUAUCUUUUCUGAAAGCAUAAGAUGUUGAAGAUGAGGACUUGAGAGCAAUGCCAGGUAAGUAAUCAGGCAAAGGGUUCCAGGCAGUCAGUUCUUGACUGGAAGCUUGAUUCCAAGUGCUGACUGAUUGCUCUCUUUCUCCUUGUCUUGCAGGUAAGAACAAGGGCAAAAGAAAAGACAAGGAAAAAUCAUGAUAUGGGAUACUCUUGCCUUUGACCCUGAUGAUAUAAGAUACUCUUGCUCUGGUGUGGCUGAUUUGUAUAGGUAUUAUUAGGGGGGGAGAAAGCUGAGUAUUUUGAGAGGCUUCGUUGGGAGUGCCCUCUUAGAUAUGAGCAAGGGUUGAGCAUUUUUGCAGGUCUGCCUAUCCGUGGAGGAUGAAGGUCGACAUAUAUAGGAGUCUCCCUAACAACAAGUAGUAAUGCUAUUCCUUUACCCUUCUUGGUCGUAGCAAUGUAGUGGGAGUUGCAAGCUUCACGUGUUUUAACUUUGUUAGAACACUUUGAAAAAGUGGUAUGUGGUAUCUGGAAAGCUGAUGUUGUGUGUGAAGAUUGCAGACAAGCUUUAUCCAAGGAAAUCUGGUUCUCGAAGUUCGGAGAGCGAUGCCUCUUCGGUUUUCGAACAAGUAAUCCUGUCGGGGAUCUGGCUUUCGAGAUUUGGAGAAUGGUACCUCUUCGAUUUUUGAGAAAGCAAUCUUGUUGGGAGUUUGGCUCUUGAGAUUCGGAGAGCGAUGCCUCUUCGAUUUUUGAGAAAGUAAUCCUGUUGGGAGUCUGGCUCUCAAGAUUCGAAGGGCGGUGCCUCUUCGAUUUUUGAGCAAGUAAUCCUGUUGGGAGUUUGGCUCUUGAGAUUCGGAGAGUGGUGCCUCUUCGAUUUUUAAGAAAGUAAUCCUGUUGAGAGUCUGGCUCUUGAGAUUCGGAGGGCAGUGCCUCUUCGAUUUUUGAGCAACUAAUCCUGUUGGGAGUCCGGCUCUCGAGAUUCGAAGAGUGGUGCCUCUUUGAUUUGUGAGCAAGCAAUCUUGUUGGGAGUGUUUUCUCGAAUGUGAGUAAAGGUUGGGCAUUUUUGCCAGUCUACCUUGCCACGGAGCACGGAGGUUGACACACAUAGGGACUUUUCAGUUUCAAGUAGUGGUGUUGUUCCUUUACCGUUGUGGGUAAUAGUAGGGUAGCUGGACCUUUAAAAUUUAUGUGUCUAAACUUUGUCAGAGAUCUUUGGCAAAGUUAUCUAUUGUACCCGAGGAGCUGAUGUUUCAUGUGGAGAGUGGUGCCUUUUUGAAAUCCGAAGAGUGGUGCCUCUUCGAUUUAUAUAUAUAUGUUUUAAGCUUUGUAGGUGAAGGUUUGGUGUUUAAGCUUUGUAGGUGAAGCUUUGAGGUUAAAGCUUUGUUGGGCACCUUGAAUUGAUUUUGCUUCACACUUUCUUGAUCAAGAUAGUGUGAAGCUUUUGUGUUGAAGCUUUGUAGGUGAAGCUUUUGUGGGUCAAGCUUUUGUGGGUCAAGCUUUUGUAGGUGAAGCUUUUGUGGGUCAAGCUUUUGUGGGUCAAGCUUUUGUAGGUGAAGCUUUUGUGGGUCAAGCUUUUGUGGGUCAAGCUUUUGUAGGUGAAGCUUUUGUGGGUCAAGCUUUUAUAGGUGAAGCUUUUGUGGGUCAAACUUUUGUGAGUGAAGCUUUUGUGGGUCAAGCUUUUGUGGUGGGGGAAGCUUUUAUGGGUGAAGCUUUUGUGGUGGGGGAAGCUUUUAUGGGUGAAGCUUUUAUGGGUGAAGCUUUUGUAGGUGAAGCUUUUGUGGUAGGUGAAGCUUUUGUGGGUGAAGCUUUUGUGGGUGAAGCUUUUGUUGGUGAAGCUUUUAUGGGUGAAGUUUUUGUAGGUGAAGCUAUUGUGGGUGAAGCUUUUGUAGGUGAAGCUUUGGAGUUGAAGCUUUGUAAGUGAAGCUUGGGAGUUGAAGCUUUUGUUGGGUACCAUAAAUUGAUUUUGCUUCACACUAUCUUGAUCAAGAUAGUGUGAAGCUUUUGAGAAUUUGUAGUUGUUCUCCAUUGAUGAAGCUUUUGUAGGUGAAGCUAUUAUGGGUGAAGCUUUUGUAGGUGAAGCUUCAAAGUUGAAGCUUUUAGGUGAAACUUUGGAGUUGAAGCUUUUGUUGGUGAAGCUUUUGUGGUGAAGCUUUGUUGGGUACCACGAAUUGAUUUUGCUUCACACUAUCUUGAUCAAGAUAGUGUGAAGCUUUUGAGAAUUUGUAGUUGUCCUCCAUUGAUGAAGCUUUGUUGAAUUUCCUUUUUUUUUUUUGGGAAACUAGAAAUUUGAAAACGUGGGAGAGACAACAUAUACAAAUUUUGCAUCCACACUGUUGAGUAAGAGAUUGUGAUGUAAGCCAUACCUUGUAGUAGUUGAAGGUUUGGAUGAACCAUAUAAAUUGAAUUUGCUUCGAAGGUUUGAGAAUUGUAGUUGCCCUCCAUUGAUGAAGCUUUUGCUGGCACCAUAAAUUGGUUUUGAUUCACACUGUCCUGAUCAAGAGUGUGUGAAGCUUUUGAUAAUUGUGGUUGCCCUCCAUUGAUGAAGCUCUUGUUGGCACCAUAAAUUGGUUUUGCUUCACACUGUCUUGAUCAAGAGUGUGUGAAGCUUUUGAGAAUUGUGGUUGCCCUCCAAUGAUGAAGCUCUUGGUUACACCAUAAAUUGGUUUUGCUUCACACUGUCUUGAUUAAGAGUGUGUGAAGCUUUUGAGAAUUGUGGUUGAACUCCUUUGAUGAAGCUUUGGUUGGCACCAUAAAUUGGUUUUGCUUCACACUAUCUUGAUCAAGAGUGUGUGAAGCUUUUGAGAAUUGUGGUUGUCUUCCAUUGAUGAAACUCUUGUUGGCACCAUAAAUUGGUUUUGCUUCACAUUGCCUUGAUCAAGAGUGUGUGAAGCUUUUUACGAGUUGUAAUGUUUACAUUGUUACAGAGGGGAAAUGUCUAAAGCAGAUGCAAGGGGGCUGAAUAGCUUGAUCUUUGUAUGCCAUGUAUUGAAGUUGUUGUUGGCUUGCAAUAAGACUUGGUUGGUGACUAUAACUCUUGUUGGGCUUAAGUGCUCCCCUAUUUGAGUUGUCAAGCUUUAAGGUUUAUGAUUAUUUAUGAAUGUUAGGAGUUCACAUGUACAAGUUGUACCACUCGUUUCUGGUAGGUGGAAUGAAUGGUGAGUUGCUUUCAUCACUUUGUUGGUGGUACAAAGGUGAGUUCCUUUAUCACCUUUCAUCACAUUUCAUCACCUGGUUAGUGGCACGAGGUGAGUUCUUUCUUCACCUGGUUGGUGGCAUGAAUGGCAAGUUGCCAAAUGAUAUUAGAGUACGGGUUGUAAAUUUCAUCACCUGGUUGGUGGUAUGAAGGAAAGUACGGGUUGUACAUUUCAUCACCUGAUUGGUGGCAUGAAGAUGAGUUCCUUCUUCACCUGGUUGGUGGCAUGAGUGGCAAGUUACUAAAUGAUAUUAGAGUACGGGUUCUACAUUUUCUCACCUGGUUGGUGGCAUGAAGAAGAGUACUGGUUGUACAUUUAAUCACCUGGUUGGUGGCAUGAAUGGUAAGUUGCCAAAUGAUAUUAGAGUACGGGUUGUACAUUUCAUCACCUGAUUGGUGGCAUGAAGGAGAGUAUGGGUUGUACAUUUGAUCACUUGGUUUGUGGCAUAAAUGGCAAGUUGCCAAAUGAUAUUAGAGUACGGGUUGUACAUUUCAUUACAUGGUUGGUGGCAUGAAAGAGAGUACGGGUUGUACAUUUCAUCACUUGGUUGGUGGCAUGAAGAUGAGUUCCUUCUUCACCUGGUUGGUGGCAUGAGUGGGAAGUUGCCAAAUGAUAUUAGAGUACGGGUUGCACAUUUCAUCACCUGGUUGGUGGCAUGAAGGAAAGUACGGGUUAUACAUUUCAUCACCUGGUUGGUGAGAAUAAGGGCAAUGUGUCUAAGCAUAUUGUAGCAAGUGUCGAAUGGCACAUAGUAUGUUGAACCUUUUCAAAGCGCAGUUGGCUUAUGUAUGAGUGUGUUAGAGUGUAUGAUUGAAUGAAUAUACUGUCAAGCUGUUCGUUUAUUUGUAUAGUCUUAUGGACAUAUACUUAGACUUUGUUUCAUGUUGGAAACAUUCAUGUUAAAGCUUUGAACCUGAGUGUUUCAUUGCUAGGCAUGUAAAAGGAUUUGGACCGAGUUGUCUAAAUCACCUCUUUAUUGAAUUCAUGCCAAAUAGUCUUCGUUACAUAGGAUGCCAAACGGCUGAAGCUUAACACUUGUACAAUAUGAGUUUACUUGUAAUAGUACUUCAAGUGAUCAGCGUUCCAUGGAUGGCCAAAGGUCUUGCCAUUGUAAUAGCCAGGGAGACUGAUCCCAACAACUUCACACGGUCUAUCCCAGUUUGGACUAAGUGUUCCUUUACUCGGGACUCUGUCGCAGAGUAAUCUUUUCUUCAAUACCCAGUCCCCCACUUUGAAAGAACAAGGUUUGACCCUCGAGUCAUAGUAGUUGGAGAUGUGCUGUUUGUAGGCGACAUUCCUCAAGUGAGCCUGGUUUCUAUGUUCCUCGACUAGAUCUAAGUUGAGGGUAAGUUGUUUGUCAUUUUUGCUUUGCACGUAGUUCUGGACUCAUAACGUUGCUUGCUCAAGCUCAACUGGGACAACUGCCUUUGUACCAAAAGCAAGUGAGAAUGGGGUUUCUCCUAUUAAUGUCCGAUACGAAGUGCGGUAUGACCAAAGAACUUGGGGUACAAAUUCUGGCCAACAACCUUUAGCCUUGUCCAAGCUGGUUUUCAAAGUUCGCUUGAUUAUUUUGUUGAUGGCUUCAACUUGUCCAUUAGACUGGGGAUGAGCUGGGGAGGCAAAACAUAAGUUGAUGUUGAACUUAGAGCAGAACAUCCUAAACUUAUUGUUGUCGAACUGUCGCUCGUUGUCAGUGAAUAUCGCAUUGGGAAUGCCAAAUCUGCAAAGGAUGUUCUUCCAUACGAAGUUUUCUAUUUUUGCCUCAGUAAUGGUUGCCAAGGGUUCUACUUUGGCUCACUUUGUGAAGUAGUCAACUACAAUGAUUGCAUAGCAAACCUUGCCCUUUCCUGCAGGUAUUGGGCCGAUCAAAUUAAGUCCCUAUUGGGCGAAGGGCCAAGGGCUGAUCAUAGGAGUAAGCGGCUCGGGAGGGGAGUGAGGAAUAGUUACGUAGUGUUGACACUUAUCAUGUAAGCGGGAUAUUAUGAUGGCAUCUUAGUGGAGUGUUGGCCAGUAAUAUCCUUGGCGAAAAGCCUUGUGUGCUAGGGAUCGAGAUCCAGCAUGAUCUCUGCAAACUCCUUCAUGUAAUUCCCGAAUGACAGUUUCCGCCUCUGCGAGUGUAAGGCAUCUUAGGUAUGAUAGGUUAAAACCCCGCUUGUAGAGUUGGUCAUUAAUGAUCAAGUAACGGGUAGCCUUGUAUCAAAUCUGCUUAGCUUGGACUUUGUCAUUUGGAAGGGUGCCAUGAGUAAGGAAUCUAUAAAUCGGGGUAAUCCAACUAUCCCUCUGUUGUAAGUUGCACACUUUCGCAGCCAUGGUGCUUGGUGAUGUGAAAAUUACUUGACACACAAAUUAAACCCUAUUGAUGACAAUUGUAGUAAUGAUGUAAGUAGGGAUCGUUCUAGACCGGGGAUUAACUAGGGAUGCUAAUCAACAAAUAUAAGACUCAAAAACACUAAACUAGACUCUAUAAACUCAAAACUAACUUAAAAUACUCAAAACAGCAAAUAACAAUCAAAAAGAUACAAUUCUAGACCUAACAAGUGAUUUGGACGAAAAUAUAACUUUAAAAGACUCAAAAGAUUUAAAGGAAACAAGUUUUGACUCUAAAAGCAAGACUUAAAAGCAAGGGGUUUUGUUUUGACGAAAAUUGAACUUUAAAAAUUUAAACUUUCAAAAUAAACUUAAAACAAAACAGAUUGUGAUGAAAUAGAAUGAUGAGAAACUAGUUAGAGGGUUCCUUAUCCACUCAUGAACAUAUGCAUAUAAUUUGAUUCCCAGUUAUGACUUCAACAAACGAUGAAUGACAAUGUUCCAAGUUAAUUAGGUCCGCUUAAAUUAACUCUUAGAUUUCCCUAGAUUCAUUGGAUUAAAUGGAAUACGCAUUACAACCAAAUUAUUCCUCAUCAAAGUCCCUAACUAUGGAAUACGCAUGAUAGAGACAUUCAACAAAGAUCAUUAAGUUCAACGGAAAUCAUAAACAUUGACUAGGCAUUCAUAACUAUGGAAUACGCAUGUUAAUCCAGCCUAGGGUUUACUUAAACACAAUCGUGACUAGCGAUCUUUACUACUCAUGAAUAUAAGUUCAUAACGAUUAGGUGAAAUUCCCUUAUAUCCUAGCAUCAAGUUUAGGCAUGCAAAUUAAGUGUCGACCCUCAACCCACAUACAUAAACAAGUUCUUAAUCAAAACAGAAAAGUAAACCACAUCUAAAGUUCAUGAAUUCAUAACUGGAGUAAAACAAAUCAUAACCAACAUAUGUCCAUGGCUUCAAAUUUGCCUCUAACUAAAAAGAAAUUAGUUCCACAUGUUUAACAUAAUUGAACAGCAAGUUAAAUUAAACAUGAACAUAGAAUUAAAAGAAGAAAGAAUUCCAAACACUCUAAUAGUUGCUGAUUGCAUAAGCACGGCACUACUCCUCCUCUCCUUCAAUGGUGGCGGCACAAGGUGGUUAUGGUGGUUGAAUGGUUGGUUAUAUGGAGGAAUGGAUGGGGAAGGUUUAGAUAUGUAGGGAGAGGCAAGGGAAGGCUUGGAGAAUGGUUAAUUUCUGGAUGAUUUGAAUGAGGUUGCUGCCAUGGUAUUUAUAGGAAAAGGAUGGACUUGUUUAACACAAAAUUCUGGUGGAAUUGAGUAGGUGAGCACGGCAAAGAGUGGGAAUUGUUGGUGGGUUAGGUAUUGAGUCAUCCAUUCACAUGUCAUGGUGAGUUAAGCAUUGCAUCAUCCACUCACAUGUCAUGGUGAUUUAAGCAUUGCAUCAUCCACUCACAUGUCAUGGUGAUUUAAGCAUUGCAUCAUCACUCAAAUUUCUGGUGAAAGUGAAUCAAUGCCCACAGCAUUGAAGAAUUUCUUGGUUUUGAGUGAAGUUUUGGUCAAUCAUUCUAGAAAUUUAUCCCUUCUUGCAACUUGUAUUUGUUUCACCAGAUUUUUAGCAUGUUCAUAGCCUCUUUUGUCUUCAAAUUCGUCCAUCCUCAUGCCUCCAUGCUUGCACAAUCCAAUCUUGGCCCAAAAAUGCUCUAGAAUGUUCCAAAUUGCUUCUUUUUGCAUACUUUGACACUAAAACCUGAAAUUGCACUAAAAUAACUUUAAACACUAUAAUUAUCAUAGUUUAGCUAAUUAAAAGCAAGAAAACAAGCUAACUAAGUCGUAUAAAUAUGCUCCUAUCACUUGGUGCUGCCAACAAUUCAACCUGAAUUUUUCUCCCAAUCUUGUCUUCCACCGCUGAGGCGAGACAAGCUAAAGCAUCUUCAUGAUUGUUUGCCGCUCGAGGAAUUUGGGUGAUCUGGUAGUGGAAGUGCUUAAACAACAAUUGUGUUUGUGCCAAAUAUGCUGCCAUAGAGCUAUCUUUAGCGUCAAAGUUGUUGGUGACCUGGUUAACCACCAAUUGGGAGUUACUGAAGAUAUCAAGGUGUUUGGCCAAACGUAAGCCUGCUAUGAGGGCUUCAUAUUCGACCUCAUUGUUUGACGCCUUGAAUUUGAAACGAAGAGCAUACUUCAUCGCCACUUUGUCAGGGGUCGUACGGACUAGUCCUGCUUCACAACCUUGUUGGUUGGAUGAGCCAUCAACAUAUAGACUCCAUGUUGGGGCUGUUUGUUCUAUUUUUCUGAGCUUCCGAGGGUAAUGAAACCACUUCUUUAGGUGUAGAAACAAUGUCAACAGGAUAUGUGAAGUCGACGAUGAAGGCUGCCACUGCUUGGCCCUUCUCAGCUGGCUUUGGUUGGUAGGAGAUGUCAAACUCACCCAAUGCUAUCGCCAUUUUGAUCAUUUGCCCAGAACUGUCAGGACUUUGAAGUACCUGUCGAAGAGGAUGAUUGGUAAGCACGAUGAUGAAGUGUGCUUCGAAGUAAGGGCGAAGUUUUCGAGCAGACAUGACCAAUGCUAGAGCUAAUCCCUCCAAGGGUGGCCAGCCUCUUUAGAGAGAAAUGAGAGCUUUGUGCUCUCUCCAAUUUCCUCAACAAAAAAACCCUAAAUGAAUUUUGGUAUAAAGUCAUAUUUAUACCUUUAUUCAUUGGAGUGGCAAACUUGUAAUUAAAGCAAGUUUACUACCCUUCCUCUAAAUGGCCGGUCUUAGGGUAUUAUUGGGCUAUUUGGGCCUUUGUGAAUCAUUAUUCAUUAAGUUGUCAUACAACUUAAGUCAAUGGACUUGACGUUCAAAGCCCAUUGGGCCUUAAGGUCCAAUACUAUCCCGAGGUCUUUAACAAACUUAUUCGUUUGAUUAAUUAACAUAUUAAUUAAUCCUUGCCAUAAAUAAUUAAACCAUUUAAUUAUCUUACUCAUCUCCGUUGUUUCUUCAAUCUCUACCUUACACGGUGUACAAUCCAUUAGGUUCCUUUUAGCGAGGCAUUGGCGAUUAAAACUCUUUCAAAUCGAUUGUGAAUUGAAACUUACUUUCAAUUCUCCCUUUAGUGUUUAUACACGUUUAGGGCUUCCACAAACCAUGAGUGACACCUAGCAGUAUGUCAUGGUUACCCAAGCUAAUCAGAAGAGGUGGAGAACCUAUUCAGUUUAGGAUUACAAUGCAAUAUGGUCUUUCUCUAAUACAAUACUCUUGAUCACAUUGUUUGGAUUGAUAGUUUAUUCAUGUCUACUAUCCAAUGUGAUUCAUUUACUUAUAUGAUUACCUUGAAUGUGAUUUGGUAUGACUUCCUAAAUCUCAUUCAUACUCUGGCCAGAGAUUCUUAAUCAUAUCAUAGAGUUUUCUCCCUCAAACGGUUUGAAGGUUAGAGAUCCCUUGUUGCGCAUUCACUUGCCUCCAUGGCUAAGUGGCUUAACCCCAACUAUGCCGUGGACACCCGCGAAUGGAGUGACUUUGACAUAAUCAAAGAUCAAGGACCUAACCACAAGACAACUAUGAUGCCUCAGGUCAAAGGACUACUUUGCAUUAUCCCAACCAUGAGUUCUCAUGUGACAUGAGUAUGAGAACUCUUCGUUUAUCAUGUUCAGUGAACUCAUUCGCUAUUGAGCACCUACAUGCUUGUCUUGGUGUCAGUCACACCAAUGACUCAAGACCAGUCACUCUCACUAAGAGAAGACAUAGCACAUACUAAUCUUAACGGACUGUCAAUGCCAAUUGGCAAUCCUAUGAUCAGGAACGUUUAGGAUAUGUAUACGAAAGAGAAUGGUCUCAUGAAUCUAACUUCUUUAAAUUACAUUCUCCUAAUUACAUAUUCCUUGGACUCAUUGUUUAAGCAUAUAACAUUUAUAUGAGACGGCUUAAAACAAUAAUCUAUGCCCUUGAUAUUAAACUAGAUUAGUUUAACUUGUGAAAUGUCCGUAAAGUAUCAUCAUAUGAUUGGUUUUAGGGCACAUUUCUAACAAUCUCCCACUUGCACUAGAGCCAAUCAGCUUGGUCAUCAGUGAUGAUACCUCUUCUGUAGUCAUUUCAAAAAUGGCUGAGUAGUAGGCCUAGACAAUGGAUAUCUAUAUGUUAUCCAUAAAAGCAACCUUGAGAAUAACGACGUCACCAUUAUACAUGAUUCUCAAUCAUGUGGUUCAGUCUCUCAUUUGAGUUCGGAUCGUGAUGAGACCUUGAUUCCCUGGCUUGAGCUAUCGCCCCAUUAGUGUCGUAGUGUCAGUACACUAGAGACACUUUCUGGUUGGAACCGAAUAGAGAGUUCAUAAAUGAACUUUCCCAUCCAAACAACAUUGUUGUAAGCUUCUAUAUGGCAAUAUAUUUUGCAUUCACAAUGGAACACACUAAAGUCAUUACUUUGAAUGUUUCCAUCCAAAUAUCUCUUUUAGUCAUAAUAAAGAGAUAUCUGAUUAUCUCUUCAUUCAUAAUGAAGAAACAUCCAAUGAUGGAUUAGAUUCAUAAUCUAAUACAUUUACGCUUCCAUUUCGUUACUCUUAUUCUUCCUCAUUCUUUGAGGAAUCUAUCCUUUAGUAUUUCUUAAAUACUUAAGGACUCACUUGACAGUUGCCAUGGUUCUGAUCCUGGGCUUGCACUGAUAUCGUCUUGUACCGUUCUAGGUACAACUCAUAUCAAUGUUUUCAUACAAUAUGAAAUACAUCAAUUACCUUUCUACAUAUGCAUAAAGGAUUCUAUUUACGCAUUAUUUCUUUGGGAGUCAAAGGGCACGUUCCCUUUGAGAAGGGCAACUUGCUAGUCUCACUAGAGUCGUCCUUCUAAUUGAAGUUUAUCACAUAUGAAAAACUUCCUAGCAUCUCUUGUCUAUUAUUAGGGAUUGAUAUAAUCGAAUUAUAUCUUGAAAUAUAUCAUUAUAGAUUUCUAUCCCAUGUAUUUAGACUAUAUCUCCCAUAUACAUUCUAUCGUUAUAGAAUGUUUAAAGUCAUAACUUUAACGAAGAAGUAUUCUUUUCAUUUCCAAAAUUAAUAUAUCAUAUAUAUAUUCAAAUUUAGGAAUUUGAUUAACUCCCACUAAUCUUUUGUAAACCUAGAAACAAAAGAUUCAUUCACAUCUUUAUGAGAAAUCAAACGAUUUGAUCUUUCUCUCAUAAGACGCUUAUAGCUCCCACUAGCUUGCUAAGAUCCAUGAUGGAUGGAUCUCUACAACUUACAUGUCUUGUGAUUCAUAGUUUUAAACAUAUAUUAUCAAGACUAUCUUAAUAAUGGUUUCGGAAACCCAUAUUAUGUCCAAACAUUGAAUCACCAUUUAGUUGUAGCUAGCAAUCUUCGAAUUAAUUGAAACUAAGACUACGUCAAAGAUGGUUUCUUCAAAGUCAACCAUUCUCUUUGAUUGUAGUUACCUUAAGCUACCAAUUAGCUAUAAAGGUUUUAUUAUUUCGGAUCAAAUGGUACUUUACCAUUUCCUUGAGUAUAUGUCGUAUAUACACUCAAUGUAGUCAUAAGGAUUUUCAUUCUUAUUUCUUUCGAAUUAAGAGGUGUAACUCUAUGACAUAGUCAUAAAGUUCAAACCAUUCAACUGAGACAGUUUAUAAAUCCUUCUCGACUACCUUGGAGCUUGUAGUGUAGGAACUAGGUUGUUAUAUUUGUUGAUUAUCAUCUUGUCUCUCAAAGAACCCAUUCUUUGAGUUCUAUCUCUUGUUCAUUUGCGCUAUCUUAGGCAAAUCCUAGUGCAGGAUUACAAUGAACUACCCAACAAACAACAUUUGUUAGUUGGUUUAUAGAAGUGAUAUCCAAAUGUUAAUUUAAGGAUAUCCACAAGAUAAUUCUCAAAUAAAUAUUGCUUAUUAGCACACAACCCCAAAUCUUAACAUGAUUAAGAUUUGUCUUUCUUUCCAACUACAUCAUAUGGAGUCAUGAAAAUUUUGGAAGAUCUUCUAAUUGACAAUCAUAUUGUCUUAGAAGCAUAUAUCCUAUAUAUGGGUAAUUGAUAACAUCCAAUGAACUAAAUCUUAUUCAAGUUCGUUCUUCUCCUAAUGGAGAAAUCCAUUAUCUUUUGAUGCUUCUUUCCUUGAUAUUUUUCAAGGAAACUGUUCUAAAGUGUUAUCUUUCCUUGGAUCAAAUCUAAGGAGGCAAAUACUUUAGACGUCUUACUCAUCAACUUACAUUUUUUGAAUUCUUUGAAACCUUUUGCAAAGUAUUCGGACUUGUGUUUAUUCAAAAUAAACUAUAGUCCAACCGAGAGCGAUCUUCGGUGAAUGUCAUACAACAUGAGUAGUAUUAUGUUGUGGACAAGUGCCACUAACAUCUAAGUGAAUUAACCUCAACAACUUUGUGAUUCUUUCUUCUUUCCAAAAGAAUAAAGAUUCGAACAUUUCGCCUCUAUACAAUUUUAAUAAGAAGGUAUUGGAUCCGGAUCUAACGAUCCAAAGCAUCCAUCUAUGACCAACUCAUAAUUUAUGUUUUAGAGGUAUCACAACUCAGUUGGGAUUAGUCACCACCUUGCAACCUUUUGGGUUUUAAGCAUCGUUAUAUUCUAAACAGUUAACACUACCAUAUCAUCUCUACUAUAGAGACAAUCAAUUAGAUUACAAUAAUCUAAUCAUUCAUUAAUAAAGAACAAUGUUUUUUCAAACAAAACAUUCAUCCAUCCCUUAUAGUGAUGGAAUUAAGUUCCUUAAAAUUGGAAUGUAAAGACAAUCUUUGGUUUUUCCAAUUUCUUUGGUAGUUCAUAUGAGGAAGUAAGUACCAUCUGCUUUCGCAGAAAUCUAUAUUUAAUUCACAUUCCGAAUAUGAAGUACUUUCUCUUCUCUCAUUAAUCUUCUACUUUUUAUUAGCCACACUUUUACAACGAUUGUAAAACAUAGUUACUAAUACGGAAUCAAACAUUCAAGUAGAAGAACCAACUGUUUUGAACUUUUCAAGAACAAUUUACAACACCUUCAAAAGGUGUGUUCUUGACACUUGCAAGACAUUUCUUGCAAAUACCCCUUCCAAUGUCCAUCCUUUCAUAAAGAAAGUUUGUUCCCUUGGAGUUUAUUUCGCUUUCUUCAUUUGACUUCUCCUUUUGACUACAAUAGCCAUGGUCCCUAAACUCCCACUAUCUCUCUUGAAACUUAUUUCAAUUGUGUUAUACACAUCAAAUGAUUUGGAGAGUGUGUGGUUAUUGUUCACUAUAUAGUUUACAAUAAACUUAGUGAACCAUUUGGAUAGGGACACAAAGGUGAAGUCCUUGCCUAGUUUCCGUUUCUAGAAGUGGUUUAACACUUCAACACUCAAUGAUUCAAAAUCAUCAUAAGUCCAUGUUGAUGGACUAUUUUUGUCAACCAACCAUUAUGUUCUAAACAUAAUUACAAACUUUCAAGAGUUGUUCAAGGCAACUCUCAUUUCUUCAUACAACAAUUUGUAAGUGAAGAAUCAUGGCACAUAAAGUGUCCAUGCCCUUGUGCUUUCUUCUCAAGUUCUUUGUUCAUUUAACAAAGAAACAAGCACUAGUGUUUGCAUUAGCUAAGGGUUGUUCAAAGCAACUCUUAUUUCUUCAUACAACGAUUUGUAAGUGAAGAACUAUGACAUUAAAAGUGUUGUCCUCUUUAUGAUCAUGUUCUUCCAAUGAUACAUUAUCAAUAGGAAGAUUGAGAGGAUUAGACUACUUAGGUACAUAUACAUUCCAUUUAAGACAAUCUUUGGGAUUGUGGUACCAACUCCGGAAACUAAAGCAUUCGGCUUUUCUUAGUCAAGUUUUGGAUAGUGUUUGCAAAUAUAUUGGUAAACAAAUACAUAACGAAUAUAAAUUGAUUGAUUUUAAGCCAUUUGAUUCGGGUCUUUAAAUCAAAUAGCACCACCCACUAUUUUUGGCAAAUUCCAUAUCCCUCAUUGGAAUUCGAGAGUUUUGGAGGAAACUCUUAGUAGAGUAUGGGAGACUCACUAUUACCAAGCCCACCUCACAAUGAUAUGAUGUUGGCUAGUAUCAAUAAUAAUGAGAGAGUACACUUACUCAUUUGCAUCUCUUGCAAGUACCUAUCUUAUUUGGCCUCUAGAGAAUGAAGCCUCACAAUGAUAUGAUGUUGGCUCCAUUGCACUUAGUUAAGUCAUUCCCACCAUGCAAGUUCAGGUAGGGGUUCAAGAACAACCUCACAAUGAUAUGAUGUUGAUCAUUCUCGUUGCCUACCUUCACAACAUCAUGUAUGCAUAUAGGAUUCAUCCUGAGUGUAAGCACGCACUUUGUACUCCCCCAUGAUAGGGUGAAGUCGGUGUACGAGUCACAAACGAUCGGAGACUACCACGGUGGAAGGCCACGAAAGAGUGUUCAAAGCACUCUCACGCUUAUCAACUUAAUAAUGGUUUGGUUGAGGGUUUUAGGUCGCAUCAUAUAUAAACAUUCAUUUUAAUCUUAUUAAAACAAUUUGGUCCUAUUACAACUAUUGGUCCAUGUGAUUGAUUUAGUUGUACAUGAUA